Molecule: long non-coding RNA, 80496 nt
Filed under: Citrus maxima (pomelo)
Lineage: Eukaryota; Viridiplantae; Streptophyta; Magnoliopsida; Sapindales; Rutaceae
Description: long non-coding RNA (CMAX_LNC003367)
Source: RNAcentral
AAUGAUUGGAACGAGGCGAAGUGUUUGCUUAUUGAGAUGAUGGACCAAGGGGUACAGCCUAAUGUUGUGACUUUCAAUGUCAUCAUGGAUGAGCUCUGCAAGAAUGGAAAGAUGGAUGAGGCAAGUCGGUUGUUGGACCUGAUGAUUCAAAUUGGUGUGCGUCCAAAUGCUUUUGUCUAUAACACAUUAAUGGACGGGUUUUGUUUGACAGGUAGAGUUAAUCGUGCGAAGGAACUAUUUGUUUCUAUGGAGAGUAACAGGUGCAUGCAUGAUGUUUUUAGUUACAGUAUUUUGAUAAAUGGUUACUGCAAGAAUAAGGAAAUAGAGGGAGCGCUAAGCCUUUAUAGCGAAAUGCUCUCCAAAGGAAUUAAGCCAGAUGUUGUUAUAUAUAACACCUUGUUUAUUGGCCUUUUUGAAAUACACCAGGUUGAGCGUGCUUUCAAGCUGUUUGAUGAGAUGCGGCGUGAUGGCGUGGCAGCUGAUACCUGGACAUAUAGAACCUUUAUCGAUGGGCUCUGCAAGAAUGGUUAUAUUGUAAAGGCAGUUGAACUAUUUCGUACUUUGAGAAUUCUCAAGUGUGAACUAGAUAUUCGAGCCUACAACUGCCUCAUUGAUGGAUUCUGUAAAUCUGGCAGACUCGAAAUUGCAUGGGAACUAUUUCGUAGUUUGCGUCGUGGAGUCCUAAUAGCAGAUGUUGUAACAUAUAACAUCAUGAUCCAUGCGCUUUGUGCUGAUGGGAAAAUGGACAAGGCACAUGAUUUGUUUCUUGAUAUGGAAGCAAAAGGUGUAGCACCCGAUUGUGUCACAUUUAACACGCUGAUGCUAAGUUGCAUCCGCAAUAAUGAGACAUCAAAAGUUGUUGAACUCCUUCACAGAAUGGAUGAGAGAAAUGUAAUACCAGAUGCAUCUACACUUUCAAUUGUUGUGGACUUACUUGUAAAGAAUGAAAUUAGCUUAAACUCGAUUCCACAAUUCAAGAGUCAAAGGUAAGUGAGUUUAAUAUUGAUUUAGUCGCAUGUUUUUUCUGCCUGAAAACCCCGAUCUGGAGGAUCCCAUUCUUAUUACAACAUGUAAAGGAGUGUUGUCUAAUGUUGGCAUGUUCCUAGGUUCUGUCCAUGGAUUCUGUUUGCAGACAUGGCUAACUUCUUGUCCAACAGAUAAGUUUUAAAGUCUUUCGACUUUAUGCUGUAAAAUAACUUUUUUUUUUUUUUUUUUUCAAUUCAUGAGUUUUCCUUCUGUAACACAUACUUCUCAUUAGCUUGAAGUGCAAAUUUCUUAGGCUUUUCCUGUAUGGCCUCUUUUUCUGCUCUAAAUAAAACGGCAUUUUAUUUCCCUGUGAGGGUAUAAGGUUUAUCUUUAAACUUUCUGUUAGUUAAAUUUGUUGUCUUUGAUAUAGGGAACUUCCAGUUGAGCUGAUUUGUAAUUCGAGUAAAUGAGAUUACCAACUGUAUUGGGAAUUGAUGCCAAAUUAAUUAUGUCAUCAGGUUUUUCAAUCAUUGUUCAUCAUUUAUUUCUGUUAACAAUUAAUAGCUGCCUCAUUGAUGGAUUGUGCAAAAUAAGCAAACUGAAAAUUGCUCGGGAACUGUUUCAAAGUUUGCCUCGUGCAGGCCUACUGCCAAAUGCUGUAACAUAUAACAUCACGAUUCAUGGGCUUUGUAACGAUGGGCAAAUGGAUGAGGUACAUGAUUUAUUCACGCUUCUGUCUAUAACACGUUAAUGGAUGGGUUUUGCUGGACGGGUAGAGUUAACCAUGGGGAGGAACUAUUUGUUUCUAUGGAGAGUAUGGGUUGCAAACAUAAUGUUUUUAGUUACAGUAUUUUGAUAAAUGGUUACUGCAAGGAUAAGGUUGGGUGUGCUUUAAAACUGUUUGAUGAGAUGCGGCGUAAUCAUGCGGCAGCUGAUACAUAUAUAUACGGUACCUUUAUUGAUAUGGAAGCAAAGGGUUUGGAACCCAAUUUUGUCAUAUUUAAUACGCUUAUGCUGGGUUUCAUCCGCAAUAAUGAGACAUCAAAAGUUAUUGAACUCCUUCACAGAAUGGAUAAGAGAAAUGUAAUGCCAGACGCAUCUAGACUUUCAAUUGUUGUGGACUUGCUUGUUAAGAAUGAAAUUAGUUUAAACUCGAUUCCACAAUUCAAGAGAAACAAGCGAAUGAGCUGAAUGCUGAUUUACUUGCAUGUUUUUUUUUGGCCUAAAAUCUGGAUCUGGAGAAUCCCAUUCUUAUUACAACAUGUGAAGUUGUGUUGCGUAGUGAUGGCGUGUCCCCAGGUUCUGUUCAUGGACUCUGUUUGCAGACAUGGAUGACUCUUUGUUUCAUCAGAUAAGUUUCAAAGCCUGGCAACUUUUUGUCGUAAAAUUACUUUUUAUUUUUCAGGUCAUGUGUUUUCCUUCCAUAAUGUUUCUUUUUCAUUUUCUGGAAGUGCAAAGUUUUUAUGCUCUUUCUGUAUGACCACUUUUUCUUCUCUAAAUAGAUAAAAUUGCAUUUCAGUUUUCCUUUGUGAGAAGGCUACUAGGUUUAUGUUGAAACUUUCUGUUAGUUAAAUUGAUUGUCUUUGAUAUCUAGAACUUCUAGUUCUACUGUAUUAAAAAAAUAAAAUAAAAAAGAACUUCGAGUAUAAUUAUGCAUCAGGUUUUUCAACGUGUUCAUCUUUUAUUUCUGUUAACAUUUUGGCUUUGGACAUGCUGGAUUGUUUUUGGUUUCAAUGAUACAAAACAUCUAACUAAUUGUCCAAAGUUCUUCAUUCCUUGUGACAUAGCAUUCAAUUGAAUGGUGACUCAUGAAUCAUGAUUGUGUGUUUUGGUAUUUGUAUACUAUGUAUUGGCAAGACAAAGUUUGUUGAAACUUGAGAAACUUUUCUCCGCCUACCAUUCUUGAUUCAUAUUCUUAUGCUAACAAAUCUUGAUCAUGAUGAGUCUCCUCUUUUCUUUACAACCCACAAAUAAAGUCCUGGCCAUAAGCCUCAAGGCCUAUUGGCUAUUGCAGCGGUGAGUUCACUCUCAGGAAUCAGAUCUUUCAAAUUCGAGGAAAUUUGAAAAAAUUGCAAAUGUCUACAAAGCAAAUGUGAUCUAAAGGUCCUUUUUGUUAUCACUCACACAACAUUACUCAAGAGUAUCUAUGUUUUACAGUUGGUUCUGUUGUGAAAUAGCAUUUCUGAUUAUUAUAGAAGACAAUUCUUCGACGCAUGUAUUUGAGAUGCGUAUAGAGCGUUGGAAUUAUAUGCUAAAGUAAGCGUGCAAAUGACAAUGAAGAAUUGAAGAAGGGGAAGGGUUUACUUGUCAUUUUGUUUUGGAAAGCAAUGCGUUUUAUGCGGCGAUUUUUUUUUUCUCUACGUUGUGAAAAAAUUUAACUGAUUUUGAAGAUCCUUAAAGAUCGUCCAUCUUGGUUCUGGCUUUGUUGCAGCCUUGAAGUUUGCAAAACGAUUCCUGCUGGAUAAAUUGAACUUGUAUACACACAUGUGAACCAAAAGAAAAAUGAUACAUGCACCGAAAUACUUGUUAAAUAGAGAAAAGUUUGUCUGGAUAGCCUGGUUUUGAAUUGAUUUUAAUAGAAAACGAGCUUCAAGCAUGUGCUCCAACUACUCUGGCAUGAGGUAAUACUAUAAUUUUUUUUUUUCUUUAAUGAGUGAGGCUAUAAAUCCUGAAUUCCAACUUGACAUGGCAUUAAUCUGGUGAGUGGCAGAAUAUUAAUCAAACAGAGGGGCUAAUAUGCUUUCUGGAAUAUGAUCCGCUGGCAACCGGAAAGCCAAGGAAUUAAUUAUUCCAUUAUUAAUUCCAAUGGCAUCGUUGUAUCAGCUAAAAAGCACAAGAUAAAACAGAUCUACGCACUUGCCCCAUUUAUUUAAGCAUACUGUUGGUUUAGCAUUUGCUUAAAUUUGAAAGUAGAGUGUUUCCAUGCCACAUUGCCAUGACAUUGGUGAUUGGCCUACAUUUUUUUUUUUUUUUUGUGUAAUCUUUUUUGGUUGCAGUAAUAAAAUGUUAAUCCUUUCUUCUCAUGAAUGUUUUCUUGAACUGAAAUGUUAAUAAUUUCUUCAUGUUGAGGCAUUAAACUACUACAGACCUAGGGUGGCAAUAUAUGGAAGUAAAUGGUCGUUUAGUAGGACCCUUUAAUUAGGGUAUUAGCUGCUCAAUUUGGAGAUCUCAUGGACCAACAAUUUAUCUGGAAUGUCACAUUCACAUAUUUGAUUGAAAAAGGAAUUAAGGAAUUUCAGGUGGCCCGGAAACGCAACCGACUAUACCCGGCAAUGGCAGAAGACAUUAUAGAUUAUAGAUUAUUGAGUUAAAUAUGAAUGGUGGGAUUUCAGGUGGCCUAAAAAGUUAAACAUGAAUGUUCUAUUUAAGGUGCUCUGUAACUCGUAGUUCAACAAAAAGUUUUAAAACUAGAUAUUAAAAUGGUGGGAUUUUGUCUUUUAUCUCUUGUUUCUCUUCCCUUAAUCGUUUCUUGGCAUGUUUUAUCAACUCUUCCCUUGGGUCAUUUUGUAGGACGGGUUACACCAGCUAAACACAUGGGAAGGUUAUGUAGACUGGACUCUGGAGGAAUAAACCUGCCCUGAGAGGCCGUCAUGGGGGCAUGCUUUGCUGCUUGUUUUGUCUUGGGUCUGUCUAUUUUUCCUAUUACUAAAGCACAUUUUCCACCGUUUUCUCACAUGCUUACCAUCAUGUAAAAACCUUAGCUGCUGCGUACGAUUAAACGUUUACACUUUAUAGUAAAAGAAAUUACAUAUUAAGAGAAAUAUUAUAUUUGCAUGUUGAUAUGAAUUAGCACUAGAAACAUGAGGCUUGCUAAUUAGAAUUGUUAUAUUGUCGAACUCAGCUGUGGAGGUACUGGAGAAUCCAGUAUAUCUGGCCAAUGCAAGCAACCUUGUGCUGUAUCUUUCAAAAUUUAUGCAUUUUUCAUCAUCCAGCUCUGCAAACAUAGUUACCAAUUUCAUGGGUUCCUCUUUGCUCUACUUGGCUUUUUAGCGGUUGCUUUCUUCAACACCUACAGCAUCUAUGUCAUAAGUGCGGCAAUAGAAUUCACGGUAAGUUUUUUGUUAGGAUCAAACUUUUUAACUUGUUAUAUUUUUGUAAUUUCUUACUAAUAAGGGAGAGUUGCCUAUUUUUAUCCGAUUAUCAUGCCUCAUACAAUUUUCUUGGGAUUUGCUUCGAUGCCUCUGUGACUCACUAUGAAACUCAAAAACUUUCUAAAACUAGCUCCAAAUACACAUUUCUUUGGAUUAAACUUCAUCUGGUACUUCCUCAGCAAACCAAAGGUUUCUUUCAAAUGCUGCACGUGGUCACUCGAGUUGUGAGAUUUUGUGAUAAUGCCAUCCUUAUAUGCCUCCAUUAUGUUCCCAAUCAGCAGCUUGAAGAUCUUAUUCACGAAUCUCUAGUAUGUUGCUCAUACAUUUUUCAAGCUAAAGAACACGACAUUAUAACAAUACAGCCCUUGGUUAGUAACAAAAGAAGUAUGCUCCUCAUCCUGAUCGAACAUCGGUACAUGGUUGUAAUCCAAAAAGGCAUCUAUAAAUGGUGGUAAUGGUUUUACUGGAUGGUCUAGUGGUUCUAAUCAUACUGGUUUUGGUUCUCAAAAUAGAGGGCUACUGUCAACUCCAGGACGUGGGAAUUUUUCCUCUUCGCCAAAUUUCAAUCCUGGUAAUGGUCCUAUCAACAAACCCCCAAUGGGUCUUUUUCCUUUUGGUAAUCGGAUUCAAUGCCAAAUCUGUCAGAAAAUGGGUCACUCAGCUAUUGAUUGCUACAAUCACAUGAAUCAUGCAUAUGAGGGUCGUAUCCCUCCCCAUCGGCUUUCUGCAAUGAUUUCUACAUCAACAUCUUUUGGUUCCCCAAAUUGGUUAACAGAUACUGGUGCUAAUGCUCAUAUAACUCCAGAUAAUGGGAAUUUAAUGCAUCCUCGUGAUUACAAUGGUCAGGAUACCAUCGGUGGUGUCGUCGGUGGUUCAGGUUUGCCUAUUAAAUCCAUUGGUCAUUCUUACUUAUCUGCUAAUUCUUCCACUUUUCUUUUAAAUGAUGUUCAUCAUUGUCCACAAGCUUCCCAUAGUAUUUUAUCCGUUCAUAAAUUUGCUAAUGACAAUCAUUGUAGUUUCACCUUCUUUCUUGAUUAUUUUGUUGUAUAGGAUCUGACAACGAAGAAGACAUUUUUCCGCGGACUGAGCAGUAAUGGUCUUUAUCUAUUUCCUGGUCGAAUUUUUCAACCUAGUCAUCCAUUUGCUUAUGUUGGUGUUUGUAGUGAUGCUCGAAUUUGGCAUUCACGGCUUGGACAUCCUUUGUCCGUAGUUUUAAAUCAACUUAUAUAUUUUAAUAAGCUACUCAUUUUAGGAUCUCGAUCUUUAUUUUUUUGUUCGUCAUGUCCUUUAGGAAAGAGUCAGAAAUUACCUUUUACAUGUUCUUUUUCAGUCUCUCAUUCUCCUUUGGAAUUAAUACAUUCUGAUGUUUGGACUUCUCCUAUUCGUUCUAUUUCUAGUUAUAAAUAUUAUGUUAUCUUUAUUGAUAAUUUUUCCAGAUAUGUAUGGCUUUAUCCUAUGCGAUUGAAAUAUGAUGUUUUUAUAAUUUUUAAAACUUUUAAAUCGUUGGUCAAAAAUAUGUUUUCCACUACUAUUAAGUCACUUCAAACUGAUGGUGGUGGUGAAUAUGUUAAUCAUCAGUUUAAGGAUUAUCUAAAUACUCAUGGCAUUAAUCAUCGUCUCACAUGUCCUCAUCAUCCUGAACAAAAUGGUAUUGCUGAACGUAAACAUAGACAAAUUGUUAACAUGGGCUUAACUUUACUUGCACAUGCCUCCAUGCCUACUACUUAUUGGACUAAAGCUUUUUAUACAUCUGUAUAUUUAAUCAAUCGUCUACCAUCUCAAUCUUUAAAAUUUCGAGUACCGUACUCUUUACUAUUUUCUAAAACUCCUCAAUAUGAUUUUUUAAAGAUCUUUGGAUGUGCAUGUGUUUUCUUGGGAUACUCAUUCAAUCAACAUGGAUAUCGUUGUUUGCAUAUUUCCUUCAGGCACUGUAUUUAUAUCUCGUCAUGUUCUUUUUAAUGAAAAUUUAUUCCGUUCGUUGACCAUGUUACUACUAGGCCUCCGGGGGUGAGUACUUCAAUGUCAGAUUCUACAGGACUUAAUAUUCUUUGGAUUAAUGCUAAUACUUCACAUUCAGCUCUAACAGAACCUACAUCACAAUCUCCUUCCCAAGCCAAGUCACCAUCUUCAUUUAAUUCACCUUUACCCCAUUCCUUAUCAUCUCCAAUUAAUUCUCCAUCAUUACGUUCAAGUGCCUCUUUAUCUUCCUCCACUCCACUCAUCUCAAAUACAAAUUCUCUUAGCCUUAAUUCGACCCCCACUAAUUCAAGUAAUAAUACAAUUCCAGAAUCAUUAUCUUCACCUACACUAACACCAUCGAUGCCCUGUGAUAAUAUUAUCUUCUCAUCCAAUGGUCACUCGAGCAAGAGCCGGUAUUGUGAAACCAAACCCAAAAUAUGCAAAUGUAGUUACUAAUGAUGCUGUUGAGCCUAAUGGUUUUGUACAGGCAAAUAAGGAAUCUCGUUGGCGACAGGCAAUGGGUGAUGAAUUUAAUGCUCUUCAAAGAGCUGGUGCUUGGGUAUUAGUUCCUCUACAUCCAUCUUACAAUGUCCUUCUAAAUAAAUGGGUGUAUCGAAUUAAGCGAAAAGCUGAUGGAAGUAUUGAGCGUUAUAAAGCUCGUUUAGUUGCUAAUGGUUUUCAUCAACAACCUGGCCUUGAUUUUGGUGAGACGGUCAGUCCAGUGGUUAAUCACAAUAUCAUUCGUCUCAUUUUAGCUAUAUCUGUUACCAAUAGCUAGUCUAUUCGACAGUUAGAUGUGCAAAAUGCUUUCCUGCAUGGUUAUUUACAGGAGGAUGUCUAUAUGCGCCAACCUAUUGGUUUUGUUGAUCCACAAUAUCCAACUUUUGUGUGCAAGCUUCGCCGAUCUCUCUACAGCCUUAAACAAGCUCCUAGGGCAUGAUUUCAAUGUUUCUCUAGUCAUUUAGAACAAUUGGGCUUUCAUGAAUCACUAGCAGACUAUUCUCUAUUUAUUUAUUCACAUGAUUCAGUGCUUUUAUAUUUACUUAUCUAUGUUGAUGAUAUUUUAAUUACGGGAAAUAGUUCAUAUCAUAUUUCUCAAAUGAUACAUCAUAUGAGCAAAUUAUUCUCUAUGAAAGAUCUUGGUCCUGUACAUUAUUUUCUAGGUAUUGAAGCUACUCAAAUAGCAAUGGGGCUCCACUUGUGUCAAACCAAGUAUAUUCUAGAUCUUUUACAUAGCACUGAGUUCCUUCAUUCAAAGCCUAUGACAACACCAACAAUGAGUGGUCGUCGUCUCAGUCUGUUUGAUAGUGAUUUACUUUCAAAUCCCACCGAAUAUCGUAGUGUUGUUGAUGCUUUGCAAUAUCUUAUAAUCACUCGUCCGGAUAUUUCAUUUGCUGUUAAUCAGGUUUGUCAAUACAUGCAUCGUCCUACAACAACUCAUUGGUGUGCAGUUAAACGCAUCUUGCGGUAUUUGAAAAGUACAACCACUUAUGGUCUGCUUUAUUCAUCUGGUUCAAUGGAACUACAAGCCUUUUCUGAUGCCGACUAUGCUGGUGAUCCUGAUGAUCGAGUAUCCACAGGGGGUUCUUACAUAUUUAUUGGACCUAAUCUCAUUUCCUGGAGUUCUAAGAAGCAAAAAAGGGUUUCUCGUUCCAGUAUUGAGGUUGAGUACAUACAGCUUGCAUAUACAACUGCUACUUUAUCUUGGUUUCGAUCUUUGUUCAAAGACUUACAUAUUCCUCUGUCUUGUCCUCGCAUGUGGUGUGAUAACAUAAGUGCCAUUUCCUUGGCCUGCAAUCCUGUGUUUCAUGCCCAGACUCGUCAUGUAGAGGUUGACUAUCACUAUGUUUGAGAAAAGGUUAUUCGUGGAGAGCUUGAUGUUCGUUAUAUCUCUACUCUCGAUCAACUUGCCGAUUGUCUUACUAAAGGCCUGUCUACUUCUCGCUUUCGCUAUCUAAUUUCCAAGCUUCCAAUUCGUUCUUGUCCUGUCAGCUUGCGGGGGUGUGAUAACGAUAAAGAUAAAACUUAAAAUAUUCUUAUCGUUAGUCUUGUAAUUAUCUUUGUAGUUAUCGUUUGUCUUGUAAUUAUCCUUGUAGUUAUCUUGUAAGCUAAUGUUUAUCAUAUGUAUUCUUAGCUUGUACAUAAGUUUGUUUGAAGUCACUUGGAAUUUAAAAAAUCCUAUGCUUCAAUAUAUUAUUAAUCAAAUCCCCUUAUAUCUUGGUAAAAUCUUUUUUACUCUUUCAUUCGCAAGGAGCUGGAUGAUGGCUGGAAAUAAGGAAAUUCAUUUUUUUUGUUUCACCCCAAUUGUUCUUGUAUUUGCAUAUUGCCAUAUAUCAUAAAAUACAAAUUUAUGUAUGUCAAAAUGAAAUCGAUCUUAAAAAAAAAAAAGAUCUCGCGUUACUGCCGCUCACACACCCCCAUGCCGCAGCUGCUAUUAAUUCUGUUUGGCGCACCAGCAUUACAGCUUCUAGCUUUUCUUUAUUCCUUAAGUUGAUAUUGUUCCUCUUUAUAGGCUUCAAGUUAAUGUCGUCUUCAGUCAUUCUAGAGUCGCUUACUUUUGAUCUGGCUAUUGUUGUUUCUACCUCCUUCUUCAUUAAUUGCCGUCAGCCGCAUAAGGGAAGGAUGUAAGUUUAUGUUUACGAUUCCUAAUGGUGAUGAAUAAGACAUGGCGUAAGAGAUAUGUUAACUGAAUUUAGUGUGUUUUCUAGGAUCAUAUGCAAUACAUAUGUAUUUCUUGUAUAAUUGUUGUUUGUAUAUUGUAUUUCAAUCGGGCAUGGCUAUCUUUGUCUUACUCUUGUACAUUUCUAUUACUUUAGAUAAUUAUUAAGGUGUAGAUGGCUUUCACGGAUAAAUAAUAAGCCAUUUUAGGAGCUUUUCGUGUAAAAAUAUAGAACUUAUACUGUUGAAAUGUCGAGUAUACUUAGUAGUUGAUAUUUGUUUAUAUUUUUACAUUAAUCUGGGAUGGGAUUUGAACUUUAUAACCGAAAUUGAAUCUAAACCAAAAUUAAGAUAAGAAUAUUCAAACUAAAUCGAUCCAAAAUGCAAACCUAAACCAAAUUGCGCUAAAUUAAAUUUGAUUUAGUUUGGUUUGGGUUUACUCUCUAAACCUGAUUGGAUUGACUUCUCUAACCCAAUUAAGUUUGAGCCCAAAUUGAAACCUAAACAACCUGAAUCGAAGCCCGAUUUGCCCACCCUUAUGAUACGAACCCAUCCAAAAAAUAACGCAACCCUAAUCAAUUUAAUCUCCAAGAUUAAAUAGAAGCGCUACCCAAUGCUCAAUGAAAGCAUGAACCUUAGUAUGUGAGGACGCUACAAUCAGUUAUGGAUGAUUUGAUUAUAAGUUAAGAGUUUGAAUGACACAAAAAUUUGAUAAAUUUAAAGAGUUUGUUUAAGAAUAAAAAAGAAUUAAUUCUCUCACCAAUUGCAUCAAAAUUUAUUUGUCUUUGUUUAUUAGAUGCGAGUACAUUAUAUAGAAUUGGUUACAAAAAUUUUUAGAAAUAAAUCCUAAACCGAAAUCAAAUUGGAAUCCUAAUCUAAUGCAAAUAAGAAAAGAAUUUUAAUUAAAUCAGAAUCCUAAUCAAAGCAAGUAGGAAAGAAUCUAAAUCGAGUCAAAAUUAUAAUCUAAGUAAAUAGGAACGAAUUUAAAUUACACCAAUUAAAAUAAAAACUCAACAAUUAAAAUAGAAAUAACUUAUUGUUUCUCUACCAGCCUCAUCCAGAAAUGAGAAAGUAUUCAAAAAGAAAAGUAGUAUAUUUUUCAAAUGGAAAAGUAUUUGAAAAAGAAAAAUAAGAUAUUUUCCCGCCGUAAUGUGCAAGCCAACUUCUUAUUUUAUGGAAGUGAUUAUUUGGAAACUUUAAGAGCCGUAAUCAUGCAUUUAUCACGUGCAAUUCCUUUAAUAGGCCUCCAUAAAUUUGAUUGAGCCUCAAUUACUUGAAUAAACACAUUAAACGCUUCUUUAAAUUUGUUUGUUCGAGCUUUAGUGACAGGUCCGAUGAUAACUUGAAUAGGAUCUGAAUAUAUCUAAUCCCACAUACUUAUGAUAGUUUUGUCCUCAAUCUCAUCAUUUUACUUCCAUAAUCUCGACCCAAUCUUUAAAUUUUUUUCAUGCUAGCUUGACUUUACUAUGACUGCCUUGAGAUUUUCAACUGGUUUUUAUCUCCCUUUCUUGAAAUCUGUUUAAGUGUCAAGUUAUCUACGUGGCUUCUUUAGUCGCGGACACAUAAUAGCACCUAACAAUUCUCUAGUCACCCUGUACAACUUUCGCCACACUAUUUACUCAUUCUUUGAGUGCCAUGUAAUGGUUAGACAUCAUGGACUUGCUAAUCCUCAUAAAGGGUCUUCCAAAAAUUAUUUGAUAUGGGCUGUCUUCCUCGACUAUUAUAAAAAAUCUGGCAUGAUGGUCUUUUCAAAUGGUCUGGAGCCGAUUGUUACUAGCAGCUCUAGGCAUUAAUUUUCUUCUUCUAUGUCCUUUCAAAGAACUGUUGGUGUGCUUGUUGGGUAAAAAUUCAAAUGCUAUGGGUGUCAAUGUGUAAGUGUACACAACAAGUAAUAUAAUGAUAAGUAUUCAAGAUUAUCUCCACAGGAGUUGAUGUUACGGAAAUUACUACAGCAACUUUAACAAUUCUGUUUGAAGUGAAAGUAGAUUGAUUAAUUAAACUAAUAAACCACCUAAUAAAAUGCAAUAAGUAAAUAUGCAGAAAAGCAAACUCUCAUGUCAAACACAAAAAUAAAAUCAAUAGGAAUGAAGUAGUUGAGUGACUAAACUCUCUUAAUGGAAUUGACUAUUUCUUGCAAAUUUCGAUCCAGUUGCUACAGCACUGGGCAGAAUCCUCAUGCAUCAUCAGCUGUCGCAUGUUAGAUGUCUUAUAUCUAUAUGCAACCUAACAAUGACCAAUUGUUAUGCCAACAUAAUAUAUAACAUUACACAUUUAGGUUCUAUUACCCUAUAAGGUGAAUCUCUAUAUCUUGUUCAUCACUAACAUAAUAUAUGACCCUUUUUGGAAUCAAGUUGAACUCAAUUUAGGAACUCAAUCUAAAACUAAAUAUUAUUCUGAUAUGUUCCACUAAGAUAGGUCAUUUUGUGGCUCUUUCCUAGCUUGUAUCAUUAAGUGGGUGGUCAGCCAAAAUAAUGACUUUAAAUAAACACUAUCACAACAAAAUGUUAUAGCAAACAUGCAGCCAGGGACAUAGCCAGGAUUUUGAUCGAGUUGGGGCACAUUUAAAAUAAAAAAUGACUCGAAUGCGCGAUUGCUCGUGUGGUAAAUGUGGGCCCCACAAACUCUAAAUGGGAGCUUGCCACAUGUACAAUCGUGCUCCUUAUAGAGUGUCUCUGCAUGCAUCUAAUUAAAACGCUAUUAAAAUAUAAUACACUUCUAAAAAUUUAAAUGGCAAUAUAUAACAUUACAACUAUAAUAUUCAUUGAUAAUAAAUUUACUUAGUAUAAUUAUUCUCAGUGAAAACUCCUCAAUGAGAUUUUAUGAGUUGAAAAUAAUGCAUUAUCAAUAUAAGUAAAAAUAUAUUUUUCAAUCUACAAGACUAGGUUAUAACUUAAUUUGCUCUUAAAAUCUUUUAAUAAUAACAAAAAAUAUUUAUAUAUUGCAACACACAAAACAAAAUGAAUGCUAGAUAAAAUUCUAGAUUUUAAAACUAGACAAAAGAUUAUCAGAAAAUUAAAAAUUAGAAUUGGGUAGACUUACAACUUAUGGUUCAAUGUCGAAAGACCAACUAUUUAAUUUGGCUUGAAUAGAAAACAAAAAGAUUAAAGACUGGUCCAUUAACCAUUUUACUAACAUUUUGUUGUGAUUUUUUUUCAUUUUAAUAUUUGUUCUUGUGUCUUUAAUUGAGUUUCAUGAAAUGUUAAUAACUAAUUAAAUUAUUUAUAAUUAGAAAUUUAAACUAGGGACAAUAUGAAAUAUUUCAAAAUUACUAGAGUCAAUUUCAAAUUUUACAAUUCAGUUGGGGUAUUUUUCAUAAAUAACAAAUAAAAUACAAAUUUUUAGUAUAAUUUUUUUAAAAAAAAUUUAAAAGGCAGCAGGGGCAUGUGCCUCAGCUCGUCCCAUGCUGGCUCCGUCUCUGCAUGCAGCAACAUAUAAAUUCAGUUAAAGAGCCAUUAAAGUUGUUUAUCACUCAACCACAAGGAAUAUUAGUUCAUGAUUUUCAAAAGGAAACUAAACAACAAAGUUUCAGCCGGCAAAUACAUUCUCAUGUCAAAAAAUUAAACAAUAAAUCAAAAUAAGAAUAAGAAAGACUGAAUUCCAAUUGAUUCCAGCAAACUUCUCCACUGAUGCAGUCUUGAUUCUUGCUCCUGAAAUCUAUUUUUCCUUGUUUCUUUUCUAUUUAUGAUCUUGGUUGACGGCCUCCUUUUUUUCUUUUGUACAUGUGCCUAUGUUAUAGUACAAAAUUAGGGUAAAUGGAAGUUUAGAGCGCGCAUCUUCCCGAUUAGGAAAUUGUAGAUUGCAAUCCGUUAAGUAUCUUGCGCGAAAUCUUCUCCGUCAUUGUUCCCAGAUUGUUACAUCACGGUUUGCUACAACAAUAGCUACAGUAUAUGCACUGUUCCAAAUUUACUCCAAUUCUUCUAUAGCCGUAUUCUUUUGUCCUUUUUGCAAACCCAUUGCUACAACAUCCUUCCCAUGAAAAUUUAACUUUGGGUUACCUACAAUUAUACAUGUGUUUUAAGGACAUAAUUAUUAGAAAUCAAGCAAAUUUUAUUAAACUUAAACUAAAAUGAAUGUUAAUGUAAACUAUCAUUAAAUGCACUAAAACACAUCAAUUACCCUCUAAGUAAUCUUGAUUUAAGUUUAAAAGUAUCAUGAUAAUCUUAUUUCAUAGAGUUAUCAAUGCUCUAACUUCAAGUCGCGCGAAUCUAUAAGGAUUCUUAUGAAUUCUUUGCUCGUUACAUUAGCUUUUAACACCAAAACAUCUUCAUGCAAGUAUAGUAUCCCUUCCUCAUCGUAUUAUGUCCAAAUGAUUGGAACUUGCUUGGUUCUUGCUCAUUUUUUCAAUAAAGCAUUGAAGAGAAUAUCAUGACUUGUUAUUGCAUACCUUUUGUAGUACUUCUAGGCUUUGUUAGAGUUAUUUACAAGAGUUGGCCCUCUUACAAUAACUCUAUCUACUGGCUCUUCAAAAAUCAUAUCACCAGUAUUCUUUUUUGCUGUAUGCACUGUUGAUCUGUCAUUGGAUAAGAACUGUCAAUAUACUUAUUCAAAUAAUAAUUUCUUACCAGAACUUCUACUUAUUUUUUUAAGUCGUGACACUGUGGUUUGGUGUGGCCAUGGGUGUUAUUCAUCGCAUUAUCCUAUCUCUUAGAAAAUUUUGGCAAGUAAGGACUAGUGAAGGUAGGUUUGGGUUUUGGUUUAGUUGACCUUAUAUUUUGAGUUGGGUUAACUUGGAUCGUUAUAGUGAGGAUGGCUAUCAACUAGUUAUAUCAUUUCAAGUAGCUCUAUUUAGAGAGGGGUGGGGUUAAUUUCUUUUUACAUAGUAUGGGGAGAUAAGAGUGGCCAAAAUCGAAUUUAGAUUGGAUUCGGAUCAAUUUGAUCAUAUAUUAAAUUUUUCGGAUUGAUUAAAAAAACUCAUCUGAAUGUACUGGAACUUCAAUCUAAUAUGAAUAUAUUUGGAUCAGAUGAAUAAUUUGGCUUAAGUUAGAUUUGGAUCGGUUUGGUAAAUCUCAAAUUUAAUUUUAAUUUACAGGUCACUAAACUCAAUGGAUAAGACAUAAUUUGUAUAUCUCUGUAAUAAACAUUCAAUUUUGAUAUUCAACUACAUAGAUAGAAGAAAAAUAAGUCAUUUACAUUACAAUUGUGGUGCAUAUCACUGAAAAUUAUCAUAAUAAUUCAUAUUUUUCCAAACAAAAUUAAAAGAAACCAUAAUUUAAACAACAUAAUAAGCAAAUAGAAUUUCUAAAGAAAAGGAAAAAGAGUAUAUGUAAGCUAGAAAAAGAGAAAUCAUGUAUUAGAGAAGAAAAGAGCAUUGUUGCACAAAAACAACUAAUACCAAAACUAAUAAAAAAAAUCUCAUAUUCAUUUUCCAAUUUUCUCAUAAGCUUACGCAAUUCUUCCUCUUCUACUCUUCAAAAUCAUUUGCCAAUUUUCUCAAUUUUCUCAUAAGGUGAUCUCUGGACUUGUGAUGAGAAAAUUACUUGAGUAACUUACGGCUGCUUAGGUUUGGGAUUUUGGGGAAAACAAGUUAGGUUUACACAUUACAAACUUCACUAGUCAAAUUGUCGAAUUACAUCCGAAUUAGAUUUGAUCCGAUUAUAAUCUCAUCGGAUUGGGUUGUUUCUAUUUAAUCAAAUUACAACAAUAGUCCAUAUUCAAUUUGAAUAUAUUUGGAUUGAAUCAAAUCCAAUCCUAUGCUGACCCUUAUGGGAAUAAGUAGCCGUCCUUAUUAUGACCGCUCUACUCACUGAUGGUUUGUCAUGAUGCCUAACUAGUCCACUUAUUUUUUAGCUCUCCUUUCAUUUCGUUUUAACUCCUCAAGUUACUCGUCUCUAACUCUUGCUGCUUUUUCCUCCUCGAUUUCAAUAUCCACCUUCACCUAGUCAUAAGCAGCCGAAUAAGAGUUUAUUAUUGGGUUCCUUAAGUUAUACCAUAAUUGCCCUAUCUUUACUCCCUCUUUUAAUCCCUUCAAGGCCUGAAGAUGAUUGAAAGCUCCAUGGUCAAGGAUUGUUUGGUGAUAUAUCUUGAAAAAUCUCUUAGAGUUUGAUUUUCUUCUUACUCGAGCCUCAUUGGCUCUAUCAUGUCAUCCUUUGGUGUUAUUGCUCCUAAAAAAUGUUCAGCAAAGUCUCCAUGCAAUUGAUCAGAAGUUCUGAUGCUUCCCUAUGGCAAUUUGCGAUACUAAUCAUGUGCAUGCUAUUCUAAUGUCAAUGGAAACACUCCACACCACUGUAGUGGUGUCAAACCAUGUACUCUAGUCAUCUCAUUAAAUUGUUCUAUAUGCAUAAAAGGUCACUCUUUCUGGAAUAUUUUAGGUUCAAAACUAAUCCCUUGAUAUUGUUGUGCUCAUGAUUUUUGCUGAGAGUAAGAUUCAUUAUCCAUAAUUAUUCUCCGGCUCAGUGCUCUUUCAAUCCUAUACUUCUUCAUAAUUCGUGCUAAUCUAUGCACCUUAUCUUCUAAUUUCCCAACGCGACUUGGGUUCUACACCCUUAUCUACUUGUAGUCAGCGUUCUGUUUAUUCCAUAGAUUUUCACCGAAGUAAGUUUGGUUGCUCUCCAAAAAAAAAAAAAAAGAAAUCACCUAAUACUUUCGGGGCAAGGCAAGCUUCCAAAUAACAUUGCAAAUGAUUUAGUGAAAAAGCUUUCAUCUAUUCCGGUAAUUUAGAAGCACUUUAAUUCAAUUCUCUCUUAAGAGUCCUAUCACUUUAGGAUGAUUUUUAAGUAAAAUCCUUGUAUAGAUUAUAUUUUUGUUAAUAUAACAAACACUAAAUAUUUAUGAUCUGAAAGAUAGUUGUUGAAUGGAGAUCGUUUCACACAAAAAAGUAUUUAAAAAGAAUGUGGUAUUGUAAUAUUAAAUAAUUUUUUGUAGUGAUAUAAGAGUAUCACACUAGUUUUUUUUUUUUUUUUUUUUUUGCAUUACAAAAAAUUGAAAAUAAGAUCUAAGUAAUUUCAAGAAUAAAUUAGCAAUAUUAGGAACAAGUUUUACGAAAAGCUUCUGGGACAUGUCAUACAAAUUUGUUAUAUAUGACAGUCUCUACUAGAUCUUUUUUCCACAUUACAAAAAUUAGAAAUGAGAUCUAAAUCGACCAAUUAUAAAUUUUAUAGUGAGUGGGUCCUAUAUGAAAACAAGGUUUUUUUUUUAUUAUAGUGUAGUCAAUUAUCAGCCAUCUACCCUAAGUUUAUUUUAUAUUAAAAAAUACUAGGAAGAUUUAAUUUGUUUAGUUUUUUACUUUAAUUUUAUAAUUUGUAUUAGUUGUCUACUAAAAGGGUCCGGCUACGGUGCAAUGGUGAUACGGUACCACCGUUGCAUUCAGUCGUUGGAUCCACUUGGAUGAAUGGAUCCAGUGAGAUCCAACGGCUGGAUGCAACGGUGGUACCGUACCACCGUUGCACCAUAGUUUUCUCCCUACUAAAAAGAUAUAAUUAUCCUUACUAAAUGACAAAAUAGAAACAAAUACAAAUAAAAACUGCGGUCAUUUUGUAAGGGUAAUUCUAUCUUUUUAGCAUCGAAUUGCAUAUUAAACUAUUUUAAGUACUUAAAAUAAUAUAAGUUCUUUAUCAAAUAAAUAAAAUUUUAAACUAUGUAUUUACCAAAUAUUUUAAAAUCACAGCUCUUCUACUACAUCUCCAAAUAAAUUCUUAAAAUCAUAAAUAACUAAAUUAAUGGGGUUUUAAAAGGACUCUCCAGACUUUGCAUGAUUUCUUUAUAUGUAGGUGCUGGGUGAUCAUGUUGGUUCCUAUAGGUACCAUCAGCCACACUUUUUGUUAUUGGUGAAAAAAUAAUUUUGGGUACAAUUUGUGAAUUUGUAUAACGUGCGGUAUUAAACAUUUGAAACAUGCAAUGACAGUAAUCUAAUCAAUAAUUAAAAAAAAAUUGUAUAAAAUACAUAUGUCGUAGGCAACUCGGAUCCUUUUCUUUAUAAUUCCAUAUCAUGUGAUUAUCAAAAAACUUCUUGGGAUUUUUAAAUUUUGUAAUUGCACUAUCCUUGAAUUAUCAAAAGACUCUUGAUAAUGUUCUUCUUCUUAAAGAUUCCCUUAAUCUGUAAAUGGUCCAAUAAUUAGUUCAUAAAACGAAUUUAUUACUUUAGACAAGUCUCAAAUAUACAUACCUCUUAUAACUCCGUAUUGCAUAAUUCCUUACUUAAAUGCAUUUGUUUCCUUUCUCUAAAUUUUAGAAUGGCUCUGUCUACUAAAUUUCCUCUUUAAAUUUGACUGCCAACUGGGAAUUUUGCCAAAAUUUCCACCCCAUCUUACUCUCUGAAAUAUGUCCUCCACGUUACUAUAGCAAAUUUAACAUCUAGGAUACUGAAAACAUUUUGUUUUAAUUUUUAAAUCUUUAGCUGUUGAAAAUAGGUCUUUAGCUGCUCAUCAGGAGAAAAUUUUCAUCUAAAACUUUUUUUGAUAAGGCAAGCUUCCAAAUAACAUCCAAAUGGUUUGGUGAAGGUUUUUCACCUUUUCUGAUAAUCCAAAAGCACCUUAUUUCUAGUUAUCUCUUAACAGUCUUAUUACCUCAGGUUCUCUCUUUAUUAAGUAAAACCUCAUAUAUAUUAAUUUGUUGUUAAUAUAAAUAAAAAUUAAGUAGUUGUUUGUUUUUUCAACUUAACGAAAAGUUUUCAUUCAUUAAAUUAUUAUCCCAAACUUUUUAGCUUUUUACUUAAUCUAAAAAGUAUGAAUAAUAUCAUUAAAAGAUAUUUUCCAAAAUAUCUCUAUCUAAUUAAUUAAUUUUCAUCAUUAUCCGAAUAAAAUUUAAUAAUUAGUAUUAUUACUCAUCUCUAUAACUUAUGAUAAUAUAGUGGUAGACUAUUACGAAUUUUACCAUCUUAUUUUCUUCAGAUUUGAAUUAUUUAUCUUCAUAAUUUUUUAUGACUAUUCUUAGUAUAAAAACAUCAUAAAUUAUAAUAAAAUGGAUUGACAUAUACUAAUUUAGAAUAUUAAAAGGUUGUGUUCAAUUGAAAAUAAUUUAUGUUAUGAUGAUAUAUUAUCUUUUAUAUGUUCUUUGAAAUGUUUAUUAUUUGAUGAACAUUUACAAUAUGUUAGGACACAAAUGUAGAAAUACUAAUUUUUAGAUUUUUUUAAGUUAAAAGAUAAACAACUUAAUAUUUAUUUUUAACGAUUCAAUAAAAAAACAAACAUAUAAUUAAGAUUUAGACAUUCAACUCUAUUCAAAAUUCAGACUAAUUCACACAUAUUUAGAUUUCAGACAAGAAACAUAUGCCACCUAAAUGUUUAUGACUUAAAAUUAUUUAAUAAUCAUGGCACAUUUAACCUAUCUAAACAUGAAAUCUUGUGUAGACUUAUGUUUAAGCAAGAGGAUAAUGUGAGAAAAUUGACACAUUAAUUUACAAUUUGUAGGCCAACUGAAUAUUUUUUGUUUGUUUUUUUAUUUUGAUAAUAAAACAAGCCUCGCAAGAGCUUAGGUUUUUAGCCAACUGAAUAAAUUUUCCCACUCAAAUUAGAAACAAUAAAAUCUAAUAAUUAUGAGCCCAUCAGACAAACAGUGAGACAUCAUAUUGUUAAUACCUACUCGUAAAAUUAACGGGAUAACACGGUUUAUGCGGACAGAUUAUCAAGGUAUUGUUAAUACCUUCUGUAUCGGUAUUUCUUUUUUUCUUCUUCUUCAACCCCAAAUAAUCAAAAGCUCUCCAAUGGCUUUCGUAUCCACAACUCGUCCAUUUCAUUUUACUUCAAAUUCAAUAUCAGCUCUUAGAUGUAAUUUCUCAUCUUCGUUCCCUCAUACCGGAAAACCCAAAUCUUCAAUUUCGGAAAAUAAACCCUCGUAUCCGACCGCAACAGCUAAACUGAAGGAGUCGCUACGACUGACGGUCAAAGACCGAGCCUCACUCGAAAAAUUCCUCAGAAAAAGGUUCAAAUCAUCCGGUGAAGGUGAUAUUACUACUAUUACUCCUAAUGAAGCCUUUUGUAUCUUUGAUUACAUGCUCAAUAUGCGCCCUUCUCCGCCUCCUGUCUCUUCCUUCAAUAUUUUGUUUGGUUGUCUUGCUAAGAAUAAACAUUAUGAUACUGUCCUUUCACUCUUCAAGAGACUCAAUUCAACUGGGUUGUUUCCAAAUCUUUAUACUUACAAUAUCUUGAUUAACUGCUUUUGCAAAAUGGGUCGAGUUUCUCCUGGUUUUGUUGUUCUUGGGAGAAUCCUCAGGUCUUGUUUUACUCCAGAUGCUGUGACCUUUACUUCUUUGAUUAAAGGUUUGUGUGCGGAGAGUAGAAUCAUGGAGGCUGCCGCAUUGUUUACGAAACUUAGAGUGUUUGGUUGUGAGCCUGAUGUUUUUACAUACAAUACUUUGAUUAAUGGAUUGUGUCGAACUGGCCAUACAUUUGUUGCUCUAAAUUUAUUUGAAGAGAUGGCUAAUGGAAAUGGGGAAUUUGGUGUUGUUUGUAAGCCAAACACUGUUACAUACAAUACUAUUAUAGAUGGUCUUUGUAAGGAAGGUUUUGUGGACAAGGCCAAGGAACUGUUUCUGCAGAUGAAGGAUAACAAUAUUAACCCCAAUGUGGUUACUUAUAACUCUUUGAUUCACUGUUUCUCUCAUGCUGAUGAUUGGAAUGAGGCCAAGUGUUUGCUAAUUGAGAUGAUGGACCAAGGGGUACAGCCUAAUGUUGUGACUUUCAAUGUCAUCAUGGAUGAGCUCUGCAAGAAUGGAAAGAUGGAUGAGGCUGCCGCAUUGUUUACGAAACUUGGUGUGUUUGGUUGUGAGCCUGAUGUUUUUACAUACACCACUUUGAUUAAUGGAUUGUGUCGAACUGGCCAUACAAUUGUUGCUCUAAAUUUAUUUGAAGAGAUGGCCAAUGGAAAUGGGAAAUUUGGUGUUGUUUGUAAGCCAGACGCUAUUACAUACAGUACUAUUAUAGAUGGUCUUUGUAAGGAAGGUUUUGUGGACAAGGCCAAUGAACUGUUUCUGCAGAUGAAGGGUAAGAAUAUUAACCCCGAUGCGGUUACUUAUAACUCUUUGAUUCACGGUUUUUGUUAUGCUAAUGAUUGGAAUAAGGCCAAGCAUUUGUUUAUUGAGAUGAUGGAUCAAGGGGUACAGCCUGAUGUUGUGACUUUCAAUGUGAUCAUGGAUGAGCUCUGCAAGAAUGGGAAGAUGGACGAAGCAAGUAGGCUGUUAGAAUUGAUGAUUUUGAGAGGAUUGAAUCCCAACACAUCUACUUAUAACACAUUAAUUGAUGGUUAUUGCUUAACUGGUAAAAUAGAUUGUGCUAGGGAAUUAUUUGUUUCUAUGGAGAGUAACGGGUGCAUGCAUAAUGUUGUGAGUUACAACACAUUAAUAAAUGGGUACUGCAAGACUAAGGAUGUAGAGGAAGCUUUAAAUCUUUAUAGGAAAAUGCUGUCUAAAGGAAUUAGGCCAACAGUUGUUACAUAUAACACCUUGUUUCAUGGCCUUUUUGAAAUACAGCAGGUUGACCAUGCUUUAAAACUGUUUGAUGAGAUGCAGCGCAAUGAUGUGGCUGCUGAUACCUCUACGUAUAAUACCUUUACAGAUGGGCUCUGCAAGAAUGGUUAUAUUGUAGAGGCAGUUGAAUUAUUUCGUACUUUGAGAAUUCUCAAGUGUGAACUUGAUAUUCAAGCCUACAACUGCCUCAUUGAUGGAUUAUGUAAAUCCGGCAGACUUGAAUUUGCGUGGGAACUGUUUCGUAGUUUGCCUCGUCGAGUCCUAAUGGCAAAUGUUGUAACAUAUAACAUCAUGAUCCAUGGGCUUUGUAACGAUGGCCAAAUGGAUAAGGCACAUGAUUUAUUUCUUGACAUGGAAGAAAAUGCUGUGGCACCCAAUGUCAUCACAUUUGGUACACUUAUGCAUGGUUUUAUCCGAGUCAAUGAGCCAUCAAAAGUUAUUGAACUUCUUCACAAGAUGAAGGAGAAAAAAGUAAUGCCAGAUGCAUCUAUAGUUUCAAUUGUUGUCGACUUACUUGUAAAGAAUGAAAUUAGUCUGAACUCACUUCCGUCAUUUCCUGUCCGAGAGCGACAGGGGGAAGUUGAUGAGUCAAAUGUCAAGUAGUAGCAGCAUGUGUUUUGAGCCUAAAAACCUGAUCUGCAGCAUCUCAUUCACAUUGCAAAAUGACGUCGCCUGGUGACAGCAUGUUCUCUCUGGUACUGUUCAUGGAUUCUUGAUUGUUCUCGUGAUCAGAAGAGUCUCAUUCAUAUUACAAAUCCUGAUCUGGACAAGCUAGCAUACGUGAUCACCAACUGCACAUGGUUGUUGAUGCCAGAUUAAGUAUGGUAUCAUGUCUUUCAACUUGUUAUUCACUAUAGUCUUUCACCCUCUGUCUUGUUCUCUCUUAAUGACCCAUUGCUUUAGAAGCUAAUGAAUUAGUUGAAGCUUGUCACUUUAUUGGCACUGACUAUCAUUUAUGCUUUGAAUUUACAGCAUAUUUUAUCCUUACUGUACUCUUCGCAUAGUUACCUUUGAGGGCUGCUAGUAUGUAAAACUAAAAGACCUUAUAUAAGCUUUUCAGUGUAUAUCUGUUCUGUGAAAUGAUUCAUUCUGCAAGGCCCUAGGCUUAUGACUCAUCUAUGAAAUGAUUUACCCUCACCUGCACACAGGCAUUUGUCCCUUUCGAGCAAUCUUCAAACAAUGUGAAAAAAAUGCUUGAAACACGACACAGACUUCACUGUUUACAUGAAAAGCGGCAGAAACUUGUGAAAUUACCGAUUAAAAAGUACCUACUGUGAGGAAGAUGCUAUAAAACUCACUCGGAAAAUGUAAAAUGGUUAACAGACAUCCACCAGAAGCACAAUUCAGAACAUGGGCUGCUUUUGGCUGCCCGGCUUUCAGAAGUCAAUAUUUAGAUGAACUUUGGGGAGAUUAGGAUCACCAGUCAGUCAGAUUUAGAUAGAAAGUGAGAGAUUGCUAUUGCCGAGUCAUUGCUUCUAUCCUAAAUGCUUUGAUCUACCUGAAAAGUAUAUAAAUAUCGGGGUUAAAACAGAGCAGUUGAAAUCGUAUUGAUGAACUCAACUGAGAUAAAUGAUAAAAGAAAACUAACCUACAUUCUGUACAAAACUCGCCCAUCUUCCUUUAAGAGCUGACUUCCCAAGAAGAGAUCACCACAAUAGUUCACAUCAACAGUCUCCACUUGAGAGUUUUUAUAACCACAAUAUUCAUUCCAUUCAAACCACAUCCUUGAGAUCAGUUCCUUCUUCAGGAGACUCGGCAGCAACCAAUCUAUAUGCAUAAGCUUUCUUUGUUUGGCCUGGCUGGAAAGCCCAGCCGAUUGCUUGGCGGAUUUCUGAUGGAGUACAGGGAACAUCCAGAAUAAUGAUCCAAAUUUUUGUGGACUUACAUGUAAAGAAUGAAAUUGGUUAAACUCGAUUCCACAAUUCAAGAGUAAAUGAGUUUAAUCUUGAUUUAGUAUCAUGUCUUUUCUGCUUUAAAACCAGAUCUGGGGAAUCCCAUUCUUCUUACGACAGGUGAAGGAGUGUUUGUGUAUUGCUGGCAUGUUCCCAGGUUCUAUUCACGGAUUCUGUUUGCAGACAUGGCUAACUCCUCGUUUCAGAUAAGUUUCAAAGUCUGGCAACUUUUUGUUUCAAUUCAUGGGUUUUCCUUCUAUGAUGCAUCUUUCUCAUUAGCUGUAGUUUCAAAUUUUUUAGGCUCUUCCUGUAUGACCUCUUUUCUUCUCCAAAUGGAUAAAAUUUGUUUUUCAUUUUUCUCCUGCGAGGGUACAGGUUUAUGUUGAAACUUUCUCUUAGUUAAAUUGAUUGUCAUUUGAUAUUGGAACUUCUAGUUGAACUAGUUUGCACUUCGAAUAUAUGAGAUUACCAACUCUAAGGAAUUGGUGCCAAAUUGAUUAUGUUAUCAGGUUUUUCAGUCUGUGUAAUUGUCCAAAUUUUUUUCAUUCCUAGUGACAUGGCAUUCACUUGAAUAUGAAAACCUACGUGUUCGCAAGACAAAGUCUGUUGAAACUGACAAACUUUUCUCUAUGAAUAUUGAAGACAAUAUAAUAAGAUAAAAUUAAUCAAAAACAUCUAUACUUGACAGGGCUGGAACGUCUGUUAUUAGUCCUCGCCUUCCAUUCUUGUUUCAUCUUCUUCUGCUAACAAAUCUUGAUCAUGAUAGUCUUCUCUUUUCUUUGCAACCCACAUAUAAAGUCUCGGCCAUAAACCUCGAGGCCUAUUCUCUUUUGCAAUGGUGAGUUCACUCUCAGGAAUCAGAUCGAAUUUGAAGAAACUGCAAGGGACUACAAAGCAAAUGGUGUGAAGCUCCUUUCACUUAUCACUGGCACAGCAUUACUCUGGCAAAUGGUUUAAAAUACCAUUCGCGUUGGAAGUUCAAUCAUUACUGUUUUUUUUCCCCCUCUUUUUACUUGCUCUUGCUAUUUUUGUUGUCUGAAAUUAUCUGAAGUUCCAUGCAUGCUCCAAUAGAACGAGUAAUGUAAUGUAGGUGCUGACCAACUCCAAAUAAGUAGUUAGUUGCCUAGUAGUUGCUUUCCAUGAAAUUUGUUUUUGGUAUGAAUAAUGUUGUCUUAAUUUUACAAGCUUCCGUGCAACCCCUCAUUUAAUAUUAGAUUUAUCCGUUGAUUGAUGCUGACUCUUGAAAGUAAUAUAAUAUUGUAUAAAUAUAAUGAAAUCUCACUUUAUUAAUAAAUAUAAUUUAAAAUAAAAAAUAAAAAAUAACUAAAGUUGAAAACCAAGGAGCAACUUCUAUCCUCUUAGUCUCUUACCAAGUUAUUAAAUAUAGAGCAGACAAAGGUAUAUGUAUAAUAUAUAUAAUUUUCUUCAUGAUUCAAAAUCAUAUCUCAAAUGUCAAAUAAAAUUCUCAAUUAAGGGUGUUCGGGGAUUAGAUUUUACGAAUUUUAUAUUAUUAUCGGAUAAGAUAUAAUAUGGUAUUAAUGUAAUUAUAUUUUAACUUAUUUAUUUAGUAGUAAGUACUAAUGUCAUAUUUAUAAGUUUUAUUUUUAAUUAAAUAAAUAUUUUUUAUUAUUUUUAGAUUCAUGAAUUUUUAUAGAUUUACAUAAGUAGAUUCAUAUUCAAUCCACCGAUUACAAAUUAUCAAAUUUUCAAUCUAAUUUAAUCUAUCAAUCUAUAAAUUAUUUUAAAUAUUAUAAAUUAUUUUUAGACUGAGUGAUGAAGGGUCAUUUAAACAAUCAUGGUCAUUUAAUCUAUCUAAUCAUGAUAUUUCGAGUAGACUUAUGUCACAUUUAAUCUAUCUAAUCAUGAUAUUUCGAGUAGCACCCGAUUGUGUCACAUUUAAUACGCUGAUGCUAGGUUGCAUCCGCAAUAAUGAGACAUCAAAAGUUGUUGAACUCCUUCACAGAAUGGAUGAGAGAAAUGUAAUACCAGAUGCAUCUACACUUUCAAUUGUUGUGGACUUGCUUGUAAAGAAUGAAAUUAGCUUAAACUCCAUUCCACAAUUCAAGAGUCAAAGGUAAGUGAGUUUAAUAAUGAUUUAGUCGCAUGUUUCUUCUGCCUGAAAACUCAAUGUGGAGGAUCCUAUUCUUAUUACAACAUGUAAAGGAGUGUUGUCUAAUGUUGGCAUGUUCCUAGGUUCUGUCCAUGGAUUCUGUUUGCAGACAUGGCUAACUUCUUGUUCAACAGAUAAGUUUUAAAGUCUUUCAACUUUAUGUUGUAAAAUAACUUUCUUAUUAUUCAAUUCAUGAGUUUUCCUUCUGUAACACAUACUUCUCAUUAGAUGGAAGUGCAAAUUUUUUAGGCUUUUCCCGUAUGGCCUCUUUUUCUGCUCUAAAUAAAAUGGCAUUUUAUUUCCCUCCUGUGAGGGUACAAGGUUUAUGUAUAAACUUUCUGUUAGUUAAAUUGGUUGUCUUUGAUAUAGGGAACUUCCAGUUGAGCUGAUUUGUAAUUCGAGUAUAUGAGAUUACCAACUGUAUUGGGAAUUAAUGCCAAAUUAAUUAUGUCAUCAGGUUUUUCAAUCAUUGUUCAUCAUUUAUUUCUGUUAACAAUUAAUAGCACAGCUUGUCUUCUCAGCUUCAUUGGUUCCUCUAAAAAAUAAUCUUGUAAAGACAAUUUUUUUUUUUUGGCAUGGUAAAUGCUAGAUUGUUUGUGGUAAAUACAAAAUUGAUACAAUCAACUUGUAUGAUAAGUUUUAAAAGUUUAUUCAUAUUUAUAUUACAUAAUUAAAAGUUCAUUCAUAUUUAUAUGAGAUAUCUAUUUUAGGACACAGUUUAAUAAUCAUGGAAACUAACCAUUUAAUAACAAUUAUGGUCGUUUAACCUAUCUAAACAUGAAAUUGUCAGCUGGCUUAUCUUUGAGUAGGAGGAUAAUGUAAGAAAAUUAAUAUUUUAAUGUACAAUUUGUAUGCCAAGCGAAAAAUUUCACAAUUUAAAUUAGAAAAAAUAAAAUUUAAUAGUUAAAUAUUAUUUGAGCCAAUUGACUAGUGGGACAUUAUUUGUUACUGUCCAAAAAGCAUAACAUUAUUUUGAUAAAUGGUUACUGCAAGAAUAAGGAAAUAGAGGAAGCGUUAAGCCUUUAUAGCGAAAUGCUCUCUAAAGGAAUAAAGCCAACAGUUGUUACAUAUAACACCUUGUUUCUUGGUCUUUUUGAAAUACACCAAGUUGAGCGUGCUUUAAAACUGUUUGAUGAGAUGCAGCGCAAUGGUGUGGUUGCUGAUACCUCUACGUAUAAUACCUUUACUGACGGGCUCUGCAAGAAUGGUUAUAUCGUAGAGGCAGUUGAACUAUUUCGUACUUUGAGAAUUCUAAAGUAUGAACUGUGGUGUCCAAUUUCAUCACAUUUGGUACGCUUAUCCAUGGUUUUAUCCGAAUCAAUGAGCCAUCAGAAGUUAUUCAACUUCUUCACAUGAUGAAGGAGAAAAAAGUAAUGCCAGAUGCGUCUACAGUUUCAAUCGUUGUCGACUUACUUGUAAAGAAUGAAAUUAGUCUGAACUCACUUCCGUCAUUUCCUGUCCAAGAGCGACAGGGGGAAGUUGAUGAGUCAAAUGUCAAGUUGUAGCAGCAUGUCCUGUCCAUUGCUUCAAUCCUAAAUGCUUUGAUCUACCUGAAAAGUAUACAAAUAUCGGAGUUAAAACAGAGCAGAUUAAAUCGUAUUGAUGAACUCAACUGAGAUAAAUGACAAAAGAAAACUAACUUUUCCUGUUCAAAGCUCGCACACCUUCCUUUAAGAGCUGACUUUCCAAGAAGAGAUCACCACAAUCGUUCACAUCAACAGUCCACUUGAAAUUUUUUAUAACCACAAUAGUCAUUCCAUUCAAACCACAUCCUUGAGAUCAGUUCCUUCUUCAAGCAAGUGGGAUGGUCUUCCUCUUGAGGAGACUCAGCAGCAACCAAUCAAAGCACAAUAAAGGUAACAUCCAGAAUAAUGAUCCAAAUUUUUGUGGACUUACAUGCAAAGAAUGAAAUUGGUUUAAACUCGAUUCCACAAUUCAAGAGUUAAUGAGUUUAUCUUGAUUCAGUAGCGUGUCUCUUCUGCUUUAAAACCAGAUCUGGGGAAUCCCAUUCUUAUUACAACAUGUGAAGGAGUGUUUGUGUAUUGUUGGCAUGUUCCCAGGUUCUGUUCACGGAUUCUGUUUGCAGACAUGGCUAACUCCUCGUUUCAUCAGAUAAGUUUCAAAGUCUGGCAACUUUUUGUUGUAAAAAUAACUAUUUCAUUAUUCAAUUCAUGAGUUUUCCUUCUAUGGUGCAUCUUUCUCAUUAGCUGUAGUUUCAAAAUUCGAGCGAAUUUGAAGAAACUGCAAAAGACUACAAAGCAAAUGGUGUAGAGCACCUUUCACUUAUCACGGGCACAGGAUUACUCUGACUUUCUGCAUUUUACUGUUGGCUAUGGUUUGAUGCAUUAUUUAUUGUUCUCAAAUACCAUUCUCGUUGGAAGUUCAAUCAUUACUGUUUCUUUUUUCCCCCCUUUUUACUUGAAGUUACCUGAAGUUCCAUGCAUGCUCCAAUCGAACAAGUAACGUAGGUGCUGACCAACUCAAAAUAAGUAGUCAGUUGCCUAGUAGUUGCUUUGCAUGAAAUUUGUUUUUGGUCUUAAUUUUACAAGCUUUCAUGCAACUCCUAAUUUGUUGGAAGUAUUAACUCAACCCGUCAUUUAAGGUUAGAUUUAACCAUUGACUUAUGUUGACUAUUAAAAGUACUAUAAUAUUCUAUAAAUAUAACGAAACCUACUUUAUUAACAAAUAUAAUUUAAAAUAUAAAAAAUCAAUAAUAAAAAUAACUAAAGUUGAAAUCCAAGGAGCAACUUCUAUCCUCUUACCAAGUUAUUAAAUAUUAGAGUAGAUAGAGGCAUAUACUUUUCUUGAUGAUUCAGAAUCAUAUCUUCAAAUAAAAUUCUCAAUGAUUGCAGGCCUCAAUACCAUUAGGAUGAACUAGACCAUCAUGAAUUUUUGCGCAUCUUGCAAGGUCCAAUUUCUCCAAGUUUAUGAUCAAGCCAAAAAAUGUCAUAAUUCCUUUUAUAGUAAUUUCAUAGUGUUUACUAAACUGUAAUAGAAAUGGAUUGAAACACAAAUAGGGAUGGCAAUGGGGAGGGGGGAGGGGACCAACAUCCCCGUACCCAUCCUUGAUAUUUUGUAUAUGUCCCCAUCUCCUUCCUAUCCCCAUCAGAAUUACUUGAGGGGAUUCCCGUCCCCUCCCCGAAUAAUAACAGGGAAUCUCCGAGGGUCCCCGAUCCCCAAAUAACUGAUAUAUUUGUUUAGUUUUCAAACUUAAUUUAAUCAUAUUAAUGUAAAAAUAUAUAAAAUAAAAUGAAAUGAUCAUGAAUGGGCCUUAUAUUUCAUUCCACUCCUUCAAACUUUUGGUAUAUAUAAUAUUCAAAUAAUGAUUUUCAAAACAAAAUUCAAAUAAUGUGAUUUUUAUACAAUAUUGACGUGAUUGUUGUCCAUGAGUAACGAUACCUACUGAUCACCGACUAUGAUGCAACAAAGCCGCAUGUGUGGCUGCUAGUUGACGUUGCGACGAGUUAGGCUACUCGGACACUGACAACGUAACGUGCUACUGGGCUAUGAUGAGAUGAAGACGAGUUGAGUGCUUACUACUGCAUGAAUAAUUUGGAAAUGAUGAGCAAGACUGUGAGAAAGUAAUUUAGAGUUUGAUUUGUGAGUUAUAAGCUUGUGGGAUUGUGUGCUUUUGGUUGUAAUUAAGUCUAAAUUAUAUUAAACAUUUUAUAUUAACUAAUAUUUAUUAUUUGUAUAAAUAUUUUGAUAUUUUUUAUUUACACCAAUAUUUUAUAUUUUACAAUUUAAAAUUUAUCGUUUAUUGACUAAUAAUUCUAGAAAAAUAAAAAUAAAAUAAAAUAUUAAAAUAGGGAAAUGGGGAGGGGACGGGGAUUCCACCUCAUCCCCAUCCCUUCCCUGAAUAAGUAAUUGGGUAAAAAAUUGUCCUCGUCCCUUUCCCGAAUAAGAAGUGUGGUAUAAAAUCGUCCAUGUACCCUCCCCAAAUGGAUAAAAUCCUCAAGGGCCCCAUUCCCAUGGGGAUUUCUGCCAUCCCUAAAUUAGAAUAAAUUAUUUACUUAAACUGUAGGAAUUAGAAUCAAAAUAAACUGGAUUGUCAUUGAUGUGUCUAUUUUGUCUUGGAAUUGAAAUCAAAAUGAGUUACAUUUUAACAACUUACUAAAAAGUGCUUAAUGAGCUAUUGUCAUAAUUAUUAUUUUAUAUUUUAAUUAUGGUAAUUAUUUAUUCAAAAAUUAUAAUAAUUAUUAUUGUUAAUAAUAUAUUCAUAUAUUAAUUAAUUGAAAAUUAUUUAAAUUAAUUAAUUAUUAAUCAAUUAAUAUAUUAAUUGAUUAAUUAUAAUAAUACAUUAAUUAAUUAUAACUGAGGACAAAAUAGAUACUUUUUAUUUUGUGAGGGGGUAAAAUGGUCAUUCCAAGGAAUGGGAGACUCAUUCCCGCCUCCCUUGGGAAUUAAUCUUCCAUUUGCCAUUCCCAAAUUGCGGUGGACUCAACGAUUUCAAUUCUGAUUCUUGACUCUAUUUUAUGAAGUAAAUGCUCUCAAUAAUUUCGAUUCCCCAAUCCGAAGAAGUAAACGCACAGUUACUGUUUCUUCUAAAGCUCAAACUUGUCAGGUUUGAGAUACCUGAUAGAUACUUCAGUCAUGCAUCCACUCCAUCAUAAGACAAACUGAAAGUUAGAAAAAAAAGGGACAAUUCAAGGAAAAUGCACACAAGUGAGGUUUCAAAAUUAAAGUAGACACUUCAGCUGCAAAUCAGCAUACACAUACAAUGGAGGUCAUACAAAUAUCAUUUCUAUAACCGCCCUACUGUAUUCUUGAAUGAAGAUGGUUUAAAGUCAAGUAAUAAGAUAUUUAAACUUAAGCAAAACAAUACAAUUAAAUUUGCUGGAACUUAUGAGUAACUUAAUCUCAUCUCUCCUCCUAAUUUAAUUGGACAGGCGUAAAUUUUCCAUGUUAAUAUGGAUGAAGUAAAUUUUCUUUUUAUAAUAUAUCUAUGCAUUAAAAAAAAUUAAUAAUAAUAACUUUUACAAGCAUUUAUGCUUGUAUUAAUACUCUACUUUUUACUACACGAUUGCUUCAGUAUAUGGUGGAUGUUAAGAUAACAAUAAUACUAGAAUUACAAACACUUGCAUACUAUUAACUAACUUAACACUAUAAUAUUGUUUACGGUGUAAGCCCUCGAGGUGAUGUUAAUAUGCCAAAGAUUUAAAAAUAUUAGUUCUAGCUUUUGAAGAAAAAUAUGCUUUCAGUCAGAAGGGAAAAAAACGAAAAAAAAAAAAAAAAGCUUUCUAACAAGAUAUCAAAAUGGUUAAUAAGAAGAGCAGUAGUAAUGGGGUAAAAGCUCGUUUAAUCCCUAUAUUUUGAGGUUAGUACUUGUUUAGUUCCUAUAUUUUUAAAAAUGCUUCAAAACAUCUUUGCCGUUAAAUAUUGACACCCCUGCCGUUACUUUGUAUUCCUUUUAGCUUACUUUUACAAUAUUACCCUUUUUGCAAUAUUGUUUCUUUUUUUGGACAUUAAUAAUAAAUAAAAUUACCAAUUUAACCCCAAAAAUAAAAUAAAGACAAAGAAAAUAUAUAUUAAUCUUUGUCAAAACUAUGUCAAAAAAAUAAAUAUUGUAAAAAAAAUUAAACUACUAAUUUUUUAGACAUUAAUAAAAAAAAAUAAUAUAUUAACUCCUCGUGGAGUAUUCAAAAAAUUAAUAUAGAUUUUUUUUUGUUUCUAUUUUACUUUUUUGGGUUAAAUUGAUAAUUUGAUUUUUCUUGUUAUUAAUGUUUAAUAAAGAAGAAAUAUUAUUAUACGAGGGUAAUAUUAUGAAAGUAAGUUAAAAAGAACAAAAAAUAACAAUAAGGGUGUCAAUACUUAACGAUAACGAUGUUUUAAGACAUUUUUAAAAAUAUAGAGACUAAAUAGAUAUUAAUCUCAAAAUAUAAGAAAUAAACGAGAUUUUACCCGUAAUAAUGUUACGAGGGGGUUCAAAUGGAGGGGGACAGGUAUUUCCAAAUUUGUAUCCAUUAAUUUUUUUAAAACUCAUAUCUGUCACUUACUUGUUAUUAUUUUAAAUAUCAAACUUGUCAACCCUUAAGAGGAAACAUGUAUUUAACGGACUUUGCGCGGCUAAUUCUCAUCAUUCGCUACUCUAAAUUUUAUUUUACAGAUUUGCCCAUCAUUUACAACAUUUAAUUAAAUACACUUAAAUUAUAUAGAUUCAACGGUUCAACCUUCAUAUAUCACAUGAAAAGAAUACUGAAUUUUUAACAUCUCUCAUCAAGAGAUUGUACUGUGUUUACUCAAUUAGAUACCAAGUUUAUAUUCCAACUAAUGUGUUAAUAGUAUUUGAAUUAAAAAUGAUAAAACUUAAUAAUUAAUUAUUGCUUAAGUCAAUUAAAUAGUAUCAUAUCAUUUGUUUGAAAAAAAAAUCUUUGUUGUUUCAAGAGUAUUAAUCCUUUUUCAUUUACUUAUUAUCAUUACUAUCUGCAACUAAUCAUAAUGAUUUGCAUCAAUAUGUGAUUGUUUUUUUUACUCCAAGAACAGCUUUUAAAUGCAAUUUCUCUUCUUCCCCACUCACCCUUGAAAACCCACUAUUUGUGUACUUCCAAAAACGAUUUAUUGCUGACCGCCAAAGACCGAUACUCACUGGACAAAUUCCUAAAAGAAAGAUUCAAAUUCCAAUGUCUUAUACCUAUUUGAUUUGCAGUCCUUGUUAUGCUAAUGACUAGAAUGAGGCAAAGUGUUUUUUAAUUGAGAUGAUGGAUCUAAGGGUGCAGCAUGAUGUUGUGAUUUUCAAUGUUGAUCAUAGAUGAGCUUUGUGAAAAUAGAAAGAUAGAAGAAGCAUUUAGGUUUUUAGAAUCGCAUCAAUGGAUGGGUUUUGCUUGACCUAGGGAACUAUUUGUUUCUGUGGAGAAUAAAGGGUGCAGAAAUGACGUUGCUAAAUACAACAAGUUGAUAAAUGGGUAAUGCAAGAAUAAGGAAGUAGAGGAAGCGUUAGGCCUUUAUAGCGAAACGCUUUCUAAAAGAAUUCUCCUAGAAUAUGUUGAGGGGAUGGGGCAGCUGCCCCCAUCGCACCCUAAGCCAACAGACUCAAAACUGUAAAUGAAAGAAUCAUGAUGAUCUGUUUUGGUUUGUGAGAUGUUAGAGGAGGAGGAUUGACUAGUAACGGGGAGAUGUUUGGGUUUAUAAGGUGGUAGGUCACUCCACUUAAAAGGCUAGUCUUUUGGGUUAGAUACUUAGAAAUCUUAUGCUAAGUCCCCCCAACAAGCGGUAUCAGAGCUAGACCCUAGUAGCCGGAAUGUAGUGGUGGAACAACUCAGGUGUGUCGGACGAAAGGACCUGAGUCCGGCGGUGGUUUCGUCCGAAGGGGGGAUUGUUGAGUUGUAUCCCACAUUGACUAGUAAAAGGGAGAUGUUUGGGUUUAUAAGGUGGUAGGUCACUCCACCUAAAAGGCUAGUCUUUUGGGUUGGAUACCUAGGAAUCUUAUGCUAAGUCCCCCCAACAAGUGGUAUCAGAGCUAGACCCUAAUAGCCGGAAUGUAGUGGUGGAACAACUCAGAUGUGUCGGACGAAAGGACCGGAGUCCGACAGUGAUUUCGUCCGAGGGGGGGAUUGUUGAGUUGUGCCCCACAUUGAUUAGUAAAGGGGAGAUUUUGGGUUUAUAAGGUGGUAGGUCACUUCACCUAAAAGACUAGUCUUUUGGAUUGGAUACCUAGAAAUCUUAUACUAAGUCCCCCCAACAUGGACUUUCUUCUAAAGAAUGAUAUCCGUUUAAACUCAAUUCCAGAAUUCAAAAGCCAAAAUUGAAUAUUGAUUUAGUAGCAUGUUUUUCUGCCUGCUGAAAAUCGAAUAUGGAGGGUCCGUUUCAUUAUACCAAAUGUGAAGGAGUGUCACGUUGUGAGGGCAAUGUAAUAUCCUCGCCAUCUGGUUCAGUUCACCAAAGAAACUUCCCCAUUAAUUUCUUGAAAAAGUUAAGUUCAAACUGUAAAUGAAAGAAUCAUGAUGAUCUAUUUUGGUUUGUGAGAUGUUAGAAAGAGGCCAUUGUUAAAUAGACAUGAAUGCUGGAGAAAACUUUAUGUUCUUUUAUUGAAUUAAGUUGAUCCUACUCGAUCUCUGCAUUUUGGAUUCCUACUUCAGAGUCGAAGAAGUGAAAUAUGGUGUGAAAAAAUUGUAUGCUUAAGUUAAUUUGAAUCCUUGUUAUUUAAUAAAAGCUCAGCUUCUUUCAAUCCGCACCUACGGUGGUCAUUUUUUUUUAUAUAUAUGGCGAGUAAUAAAUAGAUAAGAAGUAAUGUUUUUAGAACACACAAAAUAUUUUUAUUUCAAACACUAACAAAGUUGCAGACAAAAUAUUUAAAUAAUCUUGAUGUAUGUAUCUAAUAGCGUGUUUGUUAAGUGGAAAUAAAAAUGAGGGAAUGAGAUACAUUAACUUAGCCCAAGUGGUUAGAGCCACUCCCUCACAAAUGUGGGGGAAGUGGUUCGAGCCUCCGCAGACGCAUUGUAGGAAUUUAAUUUAAAUGUCCUUUCUUAGAGUUCCAGAACUUGAGUGAAGUCAGUCUUUCUCCCAGAUUGGGGCCCAAGUGGUUAGAGCCACUCCCUCACAAAUGUGAGGGAAGUGGUUCGAGCCUCCUCCGCAGACGCAUUGUAGGGAUUUAAAAAUUUAAAUGUCCUUUCUUAAAGUCCCAGAACUUGAGUGAAGACAGUAUUUUUCCCAGGCUGGGAGUUGACGUCUCUCGAAUAUUUGAGAGGUGAAGGCAGUCUUUCUCCCAGACUGGGAGUUGACGUCUCUCGAAUAUUUGAGAGGCUUAAAAAAUCUAAGCGGUGCCAUAUCAGCAUUGAUGUCAACAGGUCUCAGUAUAUAUAUGAUUGUACAUAUCAGUUAUACUCUCAUGUAAUAUGAGUUGUAAUUUGAGCAAUAGUCUCAUGUUAUAAAAAAAAAACUUAUUUACUUAUAAAGAGAGAAGGAGGAUCGAGAAUUAAAUUUGCUGGCCUCACAUCAAUUUAUGACUAACUCUUGGAUUUCUAAUUUCUAAAGGGGGUUUGGAAUCUAAAUCUCAUUUUCAAGACGGAUUAUACUACCCCCGCCCAAAUGUAAUAAUUUUCAUUUUGUCCUUCUUUUAAAUAUUUAAAAAAUAAAUAAAAAUCGCAUGAGUACUGUGCAAAGAUCGAUUGUUACUGAUACUCCUCACGGAUAUUUGUAUUACUGUCGGUCAUUGUUGUUGCAGUUGCUGCCUGUUGUCGCUGCUACUAUCGAUCAUCGUUAUUGCCUACUGCUAUUGAUUGCCGGUUAUAAUGAUGAUUAUUCUUGCCUCAGUUAUUGUUGAUGUUAUUAUUACUCGCACCGAAUUACAUAUUAUUAAAUUAUUUUAAAUAUUACAAAUUAAAUUAUUUUUAAAUGAGUGAUCAAACCUGAUCAUUUAAUAACCAUGGCCAUUUAACAUAUUUAAACAUAAAAUUUCGUGUCAAAUUAUGUUUGAGUAUAAGGAUAAUGUAAGAUAAUUGGUACUUUAAUUUACAUUUAUGUGCCAACUGAAUAAAGUUCGCUAUUUAAAUUAAAUUAGAAACGGUGAAAUUUAAUAAUUAACUAUUAUUUAGCCAUUUAAACGCAGAGACACAAUUUGUCACGGUUCCAAAAGCAUAGCAUCAUUGAAAAUACCGUAUCCCACUUCUCUUUUUCUAUUUUGGUAAUUCUUUUUUUCUUCUUCAACCCCAAAUAAUCAAAAGCUCUCCAAUGGCUUUCGUAUUCUCAACUCGUUCAUUUCAUUUUACUUCAAUUUCAAUAUCGGCUCUUAGAUGUAAUUUCUCCUCUUCGUUCCCUCAUACCAGAAAACCCAAAUCUUCAAUUUCGAAAAAUGAGCUUUCAGAUCCGACUACAACAGCUAAACUGAAGGAGUCGCUACGACUGACAGUCAAAGACCGAGCCUCACUCGAAAAAUUCCUCAAAGAAAGGUGCAAAUCAUCAGGUCAAGGUGAUAUUAAUCUUAUAACUCCUAAUGAAGCCUUGUGUAUCUUUGAUUACAUGCUCAAUAUGCGCCCUUCUCCGCCUCCUGUCACUUCCUUCAAUCUUUUGUUUGGUUGUCUUGCCAAGACUAAACAUUAUGAUACUGUCCUUUCACUCUUCAAGAGACUCAAUUCCACUGGGUUGUUUCCGGAUCUUUAUACUUACAACAUAUUGAUUAAUUGCUUUUGCAAAAUGGGUCGAGUUUCUCAUGGUUUUGUUGUUCUUGGGAGAAUCCUCAGGUCUUGUUUUACUCCAGAUGCUGUGACCUUUACUUCUUUGAUUAAAGGUUUGUGUGCGGAGAGUAGAAUCAUGGAGGCCGCCGCAUUGUUUACGAAACUUACAGUGUUUGGUUGUAAGCCUGAUGCUUUUACAUACACCACUUUGGUUAAUGGAUUGUGUCGAACCGGCCACUUUGAUUAAGCCUGAUGCUUGGGAACUGUUUCAAAGUUUGUCUCGUGUAGGCCUAUUGCCAAAUGUUGUAACAUAUAAUAUCAUGAUCCAUGGGCUUUGUAAUGAUGGGCAAAUGGACAAGGCACAUGAUUUGUUUCUUGAUAUGGAAGCAAAAGGUGUGGAACCCAAUUGUGUCAUAUUUAAUACGAUUAUGCUGGGUUUCAUCCGCAAUAAUGAGACAUCAAAAGUUAAUGAACUCCUUCAGCGAAUGGAUAAUAGAAAUGUAAUGCCAGACGCAUCUACACUUUCAAUUGCUGUGCACUUACUUGUAAAGAAUGAAAUUAGCUUAAACUCGAUUCCACAAUUCAAGAGUCAAAGGUAAGUGAGUUUAAUACUCAUUUAGCCGCAUGUUUCUUCUGCCUGAAAACCCAAUCUGGAGGAUCCUAUUCUUAUUACAUGUAAAGGAGUGUUGUCUAAUGUUGGCAUGUUCCUAGGUUCUGUCCAUGGAUUCUGUUUGCAGACAUGGCUAACUUCUUGUUCAACAGAAAGUUUUAAAGUCUUUCAACUUUAUGUUGUAAAAUAACUUUUUUAUUAUUCAAUUCAUGAGUUUUUCUUCUAUAACACAUCCUUCUCAUUAGCUGGAAGUGCAAAUUUUUUAGGCUUUUCCUGUAUGGCCUCUUUUUCUGCUCUAAAUAAAAUGGCAUUUUAUUUCCCUCCUGUGAGGGUACAACGUUUAUGUUUAAAUUUUCUGUUAGUUAAAUUGGCUGUCUUUGAUAUAGGGAACUUCCAGUUGUACUGAUUUGUAAUUCGAGUAUAUGAGAUUACCAACUGUAAUGGGAAUUGAUGCCAAAUUAAUUAUGUCAUCGGGUUUUUCAAUCAGUGUUCAUCAUUUAUUUCUGUUAACAAUUAAUAGCACAGCUUGUCUUCGCAGCUUCAUUGGUUCCUCUCAAAAAUAAUCUUGUAAAGACAAUUUUUGUUUUUUGGCAUGUUAAAUGCUAGAUUGUUUGUGUGUAUUGGUAUUUGUUAUACUAUGUAUUGGCAAGACAGUUUCUUGAAACUGACAAACUUUUCUCUAUGAAGAUUGAAGACAAUAUGAUAAGAUAAACUUUAACAAAAGCAUAGAUGCUUGCCAGCGCUGGACCUUUGAUUAAUAGUCCUCGCCUUUCGUUCUUGUUUCAUAUUCUUCUGCUAACAAAUCUUGAUCAUGAUUGUCUUCUCUUUUCUUUGCAACCCACAUAUAAAGUCUCGGCCAUAAGCCUCGAGGCCUAUUCUCUUUUGUAAAGGUGAGUUGAAGAAACAGCAAGGGACUCCAAAGCAAAUGGUGUAGAGCACCUUUCACUUAUCACGGGCACAGGAUUACUCUGACUUUCUGCAUUUUACUGUUGGCUAUGGUUUGAUGCAUUAUUUAUUGUUCUGAAAUACCAUUCUCGUUGGAAGUUCAAUCAUUACUGUUUCUUUUUUCCCCCCUUUUUACUUGAAGUUACCUGAACUUCCAUGCAUGCUCCAAUAGAACGAGUAAUGUAAUGUAGGUGUUGACCAACUCCAAAUAAGUAGUUAGUUGCCUAGUAGUUGGAAUAAAAUUCUCAAUGAUUGCGAGCCUCGAUAGCUUUAGGAUGAACCAGACCAUCAUGAAUUCUGGUGCAUCUUUUAAGGUCCAAUUUCUCCAAGUUUAUCAUCAAGCUAAAAAAUGCCCUAAUUCCUUUUCCAGUAUUUUCAUAAUGCGUUUACUAAAUUGGAACUGAAAUGAACUAGAAUAAAAACAGAAAAUGUAAAUUAGAAUAAAUUAUUUACUUGAAUUGUAGGAAUUAGAAUCGGAAUAAGCUGGAUUGUUAUUGAUGUGUCAACUUUGUCUUGGAAUCAAAAUAGAAAUGAGUUACAUUUUAACAACUUACUAAAAAGUACUUAACGAACUAUUGUCAUCAUUAUUAUUUUAUAUUUUAAUUAUGGUGAUUAUUUAUUCAAAAAUUAUUAUUAUUAAUUAUUUUUAAUAAUAUAUUAAUAUACUAAUUAAUUGAAAAAAAAAUUAAAUUAAUUAAUUGUUAAUAUAUUAAUUGAUUAAUUAUAAUAAUACAUUAAUUAAUUAUAACUAAAGACAAAACAUACAUUUUUUUAUUCUGUAACAGGGCAAAAUGGUCAUUCCAAAGAAUGUGAGUUAAAUUGUUUAAUUUAAUUUAUAUCUGUUGUAAUAUAUAGCUUAAUUAUAGUGUAAAAACAAUGACAAUGUAAUUUUUUUUUUAAUGCUAAUACUAAAACUUUAUCAUCAUGCAAUUUUUUAUAAUUACUAUUUUUUAAUUAUUUAUGGUAUAUUUGUUUAUUAAUUAAAUAAACUAUUAUUUUUUUAACUAUGACAUAAAUGUUUAGUAAAAACUAUUUAUGAAAUAGUACUACCGAAAACAUAUUCUUUAUUUUUAUUUUUUUCAAUUAUGUCUACCGAACACAUAUUACUAAUUUCAAUUUUAAAAUAUAGAAUAUAGAAAAUGAUACCAGACGCAUAUUUAAAAUCAAAAUACACCAAUUGUAAAAUUUCAUUUUCAUUUUCAUUUUCAUUUUUUUUUCAGAAAAUGCUAAUUCAGAAACAAUACCGACCAUAAACUUAUUUUUGGUAUGAAUAAUGUUGUGCUACUUUUAUAGAACUUACAUGCAACCUCAAAUUUAUUAGAAGUAUCAACUGAAACCCCUUUUACCAAGUUAUUACAACUAUAUUUACUUCUUGAAGUGGGAGUGAGAAAUGUGGAUUCCUCAUACUCCAGUGAUUACUUGUAUAUUUUAAGGGAUGUGAGAAUUCCACUCCAUGGGUUCCACCCAUUUUUUGAGUUUAUUAUUUUAUAAAAUUUCAUUUAUUAAAAAGAACAAUAUCAAUCUCGUUUAAAUAAAAUAUUAUUAUAUUUAUUUGAGAUUAAUGAUUAAUAAUAAAUAGUUUAUUCUAAGAAAAUAUUAAUUUUCUACUAUGUUAGUAAUAAUAAUGUUUCAUUUCUAUUGCUCUCAUCAAUAGUUUUUAAUUUAGAUAAUUAAAUUAAAACUAACAAAAAAUUAUUAUUUACAUAAUUAAUAAUAUUAAUAAUUAUUGUUAAUUUAAAAAUAUAAUGAAAUAAAUAUUUUAUUUUUCAAAUAUAUUUUUUUAUUAAUUUUUAAUUAAAAACUAUAAUUUUUUAAAUAAGGAUAAAACUGUAAUCUGAAACUACUUACUCUUGAUCCGAGACAAAGUAAACAUGUAAAUUGAAUUUUAAUUCCAAUUCCAUACUCCUAUUCUAGUGUAAGUAAACAAUCUACUCUCAUUCUACACUCCCAAUCUCAGGAUUCACACUUCUCAGGAUUCUCACUCUAUUCGAAAAUGUAAACGCUAACAAAAUGUAGACCAGACAUAGGUGUAUAUAUAUAUAUAUUCUUAAUCAAACAUCAAAUAAAAUUCUUAAUUAAGUAAACCAUAAGGUGAUUGCGCAUAAAAAAUAAUAAUAAUAUUAAUUUUCAUAAGAAUUUAUGCUCGUAGUAUUUCAUUACUUUUUAUUAACCGUUGCUUCAACUUAUGGUGGGUAUUAAGAGAACAAUAAUAAUAGAGUUAUAAACGGUUGCAUACUAUCAAUUAAAUUAACACUAUAAUUUGGUUUACCAUACAAAUCCUUAAUAUCAUAAAUAAUUAAAUUAUUGGGGUUUUAAAAUGCAGACUUGCCAUGGCUCCUAUAAGUAAUAUCAGCCGCACUCUUUGUUAUUGGUAAAAAAAAUUUCUAGGUACAAUUUGUGAAUUUGUACAACGUGCGGUAUUAAACAUUUGAAGCAUGAACUGACAAUGUUGUGUCAAUAAUAAAGAAAAGAAAACGAAUUGUAUAAUACACAGGUGUUCUAGUGUAACUUGGAUUCUUUUUCUUUAUAAGUGCACCUAUUAUGUGAUUUUUUUUUGAAAAAAGAAAAAGAAAAAAAGAACUCUUGAGAUUUUAAAAUUUUGUAAUUGCACUAUCUUUAGAUUGUCAGGAGAUUUUCUCUCCUUAAAGAUGCCCUUAAUCCAUAAACGGUCCAAAAAAUAAUUCAUAAAAUGAAUUGAUUAUUUUAGAUAAGUUUCAAGAAUGCACACCUUUUAUAACUCCAUAUUGCAUAACUCCUCAUUUCACUCAAUGGAUGCAUUUGUUCACUUUUUCUUUCUUGUAAAUUUUUGAAUGGCCGUAAUUCUAUAGAUUAUUAGUUAAGUGUUAUUAUUAUCAUUUUUUUGUUGAUGCAUAUGUGGGGUGGGGCCGAUUGGGGGGCAUGGAUCUCAAUACAGCAGAGGGCCAAAAUAUUUAUUCUUUAAGAGGAACCACAACCAACAACAAUGCCUUAAGUUCCAUUCCAUGUUACUUCUGUGCACUAGAUUGCAUAAACAACAUUAUCCAAGGUCAAAGUCUCUCAAAGACUUUGGUUACAAGACAAAGCAUGGGAUUGCAGCCAAAAAUUUCUUGUAGUGAAAGGCUCAUAAACUGAUGACAAUUGUCGGAUUGUUUUGGGCCUCAAUAGUUUUAAUAUUAUUCUCUUAAAAAUAUAUAUAUUGAUUAGAGAUGAGAGGAAGAAGAUGAUAUGAUUUAGCCAGCUGUACAAGAAAGAGUACGCAGUGGAGUCUAGAUUUUGAUUUCUCUUGUUAAAUUAUUUUCAAUUUACUACAAGGUAGAAUAAAUUGCAUUCUUAAAAAAUACUUUGAACAUCAUAUUUUUGUAUUACAAAUAUACCAAAAAUUAAAUUACUUUUUUUUUUAUCAGUAUAAACUAAAAUUUGCCUGAAUCCUCAUCUUUGUAAGUGGAAUUCUAUUAUGAAACUAAUAGUCCUUCCUAGUGCUAACUGUCACUUUGAACAUGUGUCAUCUCUAACAACAACUUCCAGACCUGCAGCUAGCUGCUUUUUAGCAUUAGAAGUAGCAUCCACAUUGGCUUUCAACUAGCCAUAAUUCGGAGGAGGGGACCAUUGUUUCUGUUUGUCAGUUUUCUUCCUUGAAGCAUACGCCAUAAUUAGGAGGAGGGCAAGCUUCCAAAUAGCAUUUCGAAUGGUAUUUUGAAAAUCUUCCACCCUUUUGGUUAAAAAAAAUAAAAACCUUAUUUCUAGUUCUUUCUUAACAAUCUUAUCACUUUAAGUUUUCCUCUUAAGUAGGAACAUCAUAUAUAUUAAUUUGUUCUUAAUACAAAUAAAACUAAAUAUUUAUGACUUAAAAGAUAGGUAUUGAAUGGCAGGCGUCUCACUCAAUAUAUAUAUAUAUAUAUAUAUAUUUAAAAGCAAUGGUGAUAUCAUCAUUUUUUGUACUGAUAUGAAAAUAUCACACUAGAUUUUUUUCUCGCAUUACAAAAAGUUUGAAUUCAAGAAUAAAUAAGCAAUAUCAAGAACAAUUUUUACAAAACGCCUCCAGGACAUGCCAUAUGAAUUUGUGAUACGAAAAAUAGUAUACUAGUCACUGGAUCUUCUUUUCCUCAUUAGGAAAAAUUAGAAAUGCAAUCUAAAUUGAUAUCAAUAACUAAUUUUAUAGUGAAUGGGUCUUGCACGAAAACAAGAAAUUUUUUUAUAAUAUAAGAAAUUAUUAGUCAUUUAUCCUAAAUUUAUUUUGUCUCAAAAAAUACUACAAAAACUUUAACUUGCUUUGUUUUUUUACCUUAAUUUAUAAUUUGUAUCAGUCACUCUCUAAAACGAUAGAAUCACUUCAUAAAAUGACAAAAUAAAAAUAAAUACAAAUGACAAAACCGGUUCAUUUUAUAAGGAUAAUUCAAUCCGUUUGGCUUCAAAUUACAAAUUAAAUUAUUUCAAAUAUUAUAAAUUAUUUUUAUACUGGGUGAUGGACCUAAUCAUUUUAAUACUUAUGACAAUUUAAUCUAUCUAAAUAUAAAAUUUUGAGUAGACUUAUGUUUGAGUAGGAGGAUAAUGUAAGAAAAUUUGGCACUUUUAUUCAACUGAAGAAAUUUUACAAUUUAAAUUAAAAACGAUAAAAUUUAAUAAUUAACUAUUAUUUGAACUAAUUGAAUCGUGCGCCAUCAUUUGUGUAAUGUAUCCUAUUGCAAAAUAAACGGCAGGAUGCGGUUUGCGUUAAUGUAUCCUAUUUUGGUAAUUCUCUUCUUCUUCUUCAACCCCAAAUAAUCAAAAGCUCUCCAAUGGCUUUCGUAUCCUCAACUCGUUCAUUUCAUUUUACUACAAUUUCAAUAUCAGCUCUUAGUUGUAAUUUCUCCUCUUCGUUCCCUCAUACCAGAAAACUCACAUCUUCAAUUUCGGAAAAUGAACCCUCAUAUCCGACUACAACAGCUAAACUGAAGGAGUCGCUACGACUGACAGUCAAAGACCGAGCCUCACUAGAAAAUUUCCUCAGAGAAAGGUUCAAAUCAUCAGGUGAAGGUGAUAUUACUACUAUUACUCCUAAUGAAGCCUUUUGUAUCUUUGAUUACAUGCUCAAUAUGCGCCCUUCUCCGCCUCCUGUCUGUUCCUUCAAUAUUUUGUUUGGUUGUCUCGCUAAGAAUAAACAUUAUGAUACUGUCCUUUCACUCUUCAAGAGACUCAAUUCAACUGGGUUGUUUCCAGAUCUUUAUACUUACAAUAUCUUGAUUAACUGCUUUUGCAAAAUGGGUCGAGUUUCUCAUGGUUUUGUUGUUCUUGGGAGAAUCCUCAGGUCUUGUUUUACUCCAAAUGCUGUGACCUUUACUUCUUUGAUUAAAGGUUUGUGUGCGGAGAGUAGAAUCAUGGAGGCUGCCGCAUUGUUUACGAAACUUAGAGUGUUUGGUUGUGAGCCUAAUGUUUUUACAUACAAUACUUUGAUUAAUGGAUUGUGUCGAACUGGCCAUACAAUUGUUGCUCUAAAUUUAUUUGAAGAGAUGGCUAGUGGAAAUGGGGAAUUUGGUGUUGUUUGUAAGCCAGAUGCUAUUACAUACAGUACUAUUAUAGAUGGUCUUUGUAAGGAAGGUUUUGUGGACAAGGCCAAGGAACUGUUUCUGCAGAUGAAGUAUGAGAAUAUUAACCCGGAUGUGGUUACCUAUACCUCUGUGAUUCGUGGUUUUUGUUAUGCUAAUGAUUGGAAUGAGGCCAAGUGUUUGCUAAUUGAGAUGAUGGACCAAGGGGUACAGCCCAAUGUUGUGACUUUCAAUGUGAUCAUGGAUGAGCUCUGCAAGAAUGGAAAGAUGGAUGAGGCAAGUCGGUUGUUGGACCUGAUGAUUCAGAUUGGUGUGCGUCCAAAUGCUUUUGUCUAUAACACAUUAAUGGACGGGUUUUGCUUGACAGGUAGAGUUAAUCGUGCGAAGGAACUAUUUGUUUCUAUGGAGAGUAUGGGUUGCACACAUACUGUUUUUAGUUACAGUAUUUUGAUAAAUGGUUACUGCAAGAAUAAGGAAAUAGAGGGAGCGUUAAGCCUUUAUGGAGAAAUGCUCUCUAAAGGAAUUAAGCCAGAUGUUGUUAUAUAUAACACCUUGUUUGUUGUCCUUUUUGAAAUACACCAGGUUGAGCGUGCUUUCAAGCUGUUUGAUGAGAUGCAACGUGAUGGCGUGGCAGCUGAUACCUGGACAUAUAGAACCUUUAUUGAUGGGCUCUGCAAGAAUAGUUAUAUCGUAGAGGCAGUUGAACUAUUUCGCACUUUGAGAAUUCUCAAGUGUGAACUUGAUAUUCGAGCCUACAACUGCCUCAUUGAUGGAUUAUGUAAAUCCGGCAGACUCGAAAUUGCAUGGGAACUAUUUUGUAGUUUGCCUCGUGGAGUCCUAAUAGCAGAUGUUGUAACCUAUAACAUCAUGAUCCAUGGGCUUUGUAACGAUGGGAAAAUGGACAAGGCGCAUGAUUUGUUUCUUGAUAUGGAAGCAAAAGGUGUAGCACCCGAUUGUGUCACAUUUAAUACGCUGAUGCUAGGUUGCAUCCGCAAUAAUGAGACAUCAAAAGUUGUUGAACUCCUUCACAGAAUGGAUGAGAGAAAUGUAAUACCAGAUGCAUCUACACUUUCAAUUGUUGUGGACUUGCUUGUAAAGAAUGAAAUUAGCUUAAACUCCAUUCCACAAUUCAAGAGUCAAAGGUAAGUGAGUUUAAUAAUGAUUUAGUCGCAUGUUUCUUCUGCCUGAAAACUCAAUGUGGAGGAUCCUAUUCUUAUUACAACAUGUAAAGGAGUGUUGUCUAAUGUUGGCAUGUUCCUAGGUUCUGUCCAUGGAUUCUGUUUGCAGACAUGGCUAACUUCUUGUUCAACAGAUAAGUUUUAAAGUCUUUCAACUUUAUGUUGUAAAAUAACUUUCUUAUUAUUCAAUUCAUGAGUUUUCCUUCUGUAACACAUACUUCUCAUUAGAUGGAAGUGCAAAUUUUUUAGGCUUUUCCCGUAUGGCCUCUUUUUCUGCUCUAAAUAAAAUGGCAUUUUAUUUCCCUCCUGUGAGGGUACAAGGUUUAUGUAUAAACUUUCUGUUAGUUAAAUUGGUUGUCUUUGAUAUAGGGAACUUCCAGUUGAGCUGAUUUGUAAUUCGAGUAUAUGAGAUUACCAACUGUAUUGGGAAUUAAUGCCAAAUUAAUUAUGUCAUCAGGUUUUUCAAUCAUUGUUCAUCAUUUAUUUCUGUUAACAAUUAAUAGCACAGCUUGUCUUCUCAGCUUCAUUGGUUCCUCUAAAAAAUAAUCUUGUAAAGACAAUUUUUUUUUUUUGGCAUGGUAAAUGCUAGAUUGUUUGUGGUAAAUACAAAAUUGAUACAAUCAACUUGUAUGAUAAGUUUUAAAAGUUUAUUCAUAUUUAUAUUACAUAAUUAAAAGUUCAUUCAUAUUUAUAUGAGAUAUCUAUUUUAGGACACAGUUUAAUAAUCAUGGAAACUAACCAUUUAAUAACAAUUAUGGUCGUUUAACCUAUCUAAACAUGAAAUUGUCAGCUGGCUUAUCUUUGAGUAGGAGGAUAAUGUAAGAAAAUUAAUAUUUUAAUGUACAAUUUGUAUGCCAAGCGAAAAAUUUCACAAUUUAAAUUAGAAAAAAUAAAAUUUAAUAGUUAAAUAUUAUUUGAGCCAAUUGACUAGUGGGACAUUAUUUGUUACUGUCCAAAAAGCAUAACAUUAUUUUGAUAAAUGGUUACUGCAAGAAUAAGGAAAUAGAGGAAGCGUUAAGCCUUUAUAGCGAAAUGCUCUCUAAAGGAAUAAAGCCAACAGUUGUUACAUAUAACACCUUGUUUCUUGGUCUUUUUGAAAUACACCAAGUUGAGCGUGCUUUAAAACUGUUUGAUGAGAUGCAGCGCAAUGGUGUGGUUGCUGAUACCUCUACGUAUAAUACCUUUACUGACGGGCUCUGCAAGAAUGGUUAUAUCGUAGAGGCAGUUGAACUAUUUCGUACUUUGAGAAUUCUAAAGUAUGAACUGUGGUGUCCAAUUUCAUCACAUUUGGUACGCUUAUCCAUGGUUUUAUCCGAAUCAAUGAGCCAUCAGAAGUUAUUCAACUUCUUCACAUGAUGAAGGAGAAAAAAGUAAUGCCAGAUGCGUCUACAGUUUCAAUCGUUGUCGACUUACUUGUAAAGAAUGAAAUUAGUCUGAACUCACUUCCGUCAUUUCCUGUCCAAGAGCGACAGGGGGAAGUUGAUGAGUCAAAUGUCAAGUUGUAGCAGCAUGUCCUGUCCAUUGCUUCAAUCCUAAAUGCUUUGAUCUACCUGAAAAGUAUACAAAUAUCGGAGUUAAAACAGAGCAGAUUAAAUCGUAUUGAUGAACUCAACUGAGAUAAAUGACAAAAGAAAACUAACUUUUCCUGUUCAAAGCUCGCACACCUUCCUUUAAGAGCUGACUUUCCAAGAAGAGAUCACCACAAUCGUUCACAUCAACAGUCCACUUGAAAUUUUUUAUAACCACAAUAGUCAUUCCAUUCAAACCACAUCCUUGAGAUCAGUUCCUUCUUCAAGCAAGUGGGAUGGUCUUCCUCUUGAGGAGACUCAGCAGCAACCAAUCAAAGCACAAUAAAGGUAACAUCCAGAAUAAUGAUCCAAAUUUUUGUGGACUUACAUGCAAAGAAUGAAAUUGGUUUAAACUCGAUUCCACAAUUCAAGAGUUAAUGAGUUUAUCUUGAUUCAGUAGCGUGUCUCUUCUGCUUUAAAACCAGAUCUGGGGAAUCCCAUUCUUAUUACAACAUGUGAAGGAGUGUUUGUGUAUUGUUGGCAUGUUCCCAGGUUCUGUUCACGGAUUCUGUUUGCAGACAUGGCUAACUCCUCGUUUCAUCAGAUAAGUUUCAAAGUCUGGCAACUUUUUGUUGUAAAAAUAACUAUUUCAUUAUUCAAUUCAUGAGUUUUCCUUCUAUGGUGCAUCUUUCUCAUUAGCUGUAGUUUCAAAAUUUUUAGGCUCUUCCUGCAUGACCUCUUUUUCUUCUCUAAAUAGAUAAAAUUUGUUUUUCAUUUUUCUCUUGCGAGGGUACAGGUUCAUGUUGAAACUUUCUGUUAGUUAAAUUGAUUGUCUUUGAUAUUCGAACUUCUAGCUGAACUAGUUUGCACUUCGAAUAUAUGAGAUUACCAACUGUAACGGGAAUUGGUGCCAAAUUGAUUAUGUUAUCAGGUUUCCCAGUCUGUGUUCAUCUUGUCUUCUCUGCUUCUUUGGCUCCUGUCAAAUAUAAACUUGUAAAGACAUUUUGUUUUGGCAUGGCACAUGCUAGAUUUUGUUUUUGGUUUGAAUGAUAUUAGACAUCUAAGUAAUUGUCCAAAUUUUUUCGUUCCUAGUGACAAGGCAUUCAAUUGAAAUGGUGACUCAUGAAUCAUGAUUGUGUAUGUUGGUAUUUGUUAUACUACGCGUUAGACAAACUUUGUUGAAACUGACAUACUUUUCUCUAUGGAGAUUGAAGACAACAUAAUAAGAUAAAAUUUAUCCAAAACAUAUAUACUUGAAAGGGCUGGAACGUCUGUUAUUAGUCCUCGCCUUCCAUUCUUGUUUCGUAUUCUUCUGCUAACAAAUCUUGAUCAUGAUAGUCUUCUCUUUCUAUACAACCCACAUAUAAAGUCUUGGCCAUAAGCCUCGAGGCCUAUUCUCUUUUGCAGUGGUGAGUUCACUCUCAGGAAUCGGAUCCUUCAAAUUCGAGCGAAUUUGAAGAAACUGCAAAAGCCUACAAAGCAAAUGGUGUAGAGAACCUUUUACUUAUCACGGGCACAGGAUUACUGACUUUCUGCAUUUUACAGUUGGCUAUGGUUUGAUGCAUUAUUUAUUGUUCUCAAAUUAUAUUCUCGUUGGAAGUUCAAUCAUUACUGUUUCUUUUUUCCCCCUCUUUUUACUUGAAGUUACCUGAAGUUCCAUGCAUGCUCCAAUCGAACAAGUAACGUAGGUGCUGACCAACUCAAAAUAAGUAGUCAGUUGCCUAGUGGUUGCUUUGCAUGAAAUUUGUUUUUGGUAUGAAUAAUGUUGUCUUAAUUUUACAAGCUUCCAUGCAACUCCUAAUUUGUUGGAAGCAUUAACUCAACCCGUCAUUUAAGGUUAGAUUUAACCAUUGACUUAUGUUGACUAUUAAAAGUACUAUAAUAUUUUUAUAUUUUAUAAAUAUAACGAAACCUCACUUUAUUAACAAAUAUAAUUUAAAAUAUAAAAAAUCAAUAAUAAAAAAUAACUAAAGUUGAAAUCCAAGGAGCAACUUCUAUCCUCUAACCAAGUUAUUAAAUAUUAGAAUAGAUAGAGGCAUAUACUUUUCUUCAUGAUUCAGAAUCAUAUCUCAAAGUCAAAUAAAAUUCUCAAUGAUUGCAGGCCUCAAUACCAUUAAGAUGAACUAGACCAUCAUGAAUUUUUGUGCAUCUUGCAAGGUCCAAUUUCUCCAAGUUUAUGAUCAAGCCAAAAAAUGUCAUAAUUCCUUUUAUAGUAAUUUCAUAGUGUUUACUAAACAAUAAUAGAAAUGGACUGAAAGACAAAUAGGGAAUGCAAAUUAGAAUAGGGAUGGCAAUGGGGAGGGGGGAGGGGACCAACAUCCCUGUACCCAUUCCUGAUGUUUUGUAUAUAUCCUUAUCCCCUUCCCGUCCCCAUCAGAAUUGCUUAAGGGGAUUCUCGUCCCCUCUCUAAAUAAUAACAAGGAAUCCCCAAGGGUCCCCGAUCCCCAAAUAACUGAUAUAUUUGUUUAGUUUUCAAACUUAAUUUAAUCAUAUUAACCUAAAAAUAUAUAAAAUAAAAUGAAAAUGAUCAUGAAUGGGCCUUAUAUUUCAUUCUACUCUUUCAAACUUUUGAUAUAUAUAAUAUUCAAAUAAUGAUUUUCAAAACAAAAUUCAAAUAAUGUGAUUUUUAUACAAUAUUGACGUGAUUGUUGUCCAUGAGUAAUGAUACCUGCUGAUGACCGACUAUGAUGCAACAAAGCCGCAUAUGUGGCUGCUAGUUGGCGUUGCGAUGAGUUAGGCUACUCGGCCACUGACAACACAACGUGCUACUGAGUUAUGAUGAGAUGAAGACGAGUUGAGUGCUUACUACUGCAUGAAUAUUUUGGAAAUGAUGAGCAAGACUGUGAGAAAGUGAUUUAGAGUUUGAUUUGUGAGUUAUGAGCUUGUGGUUGUAAUUAAGUCUAAAUUAUAUUAAACAUUUUAUAUUAACUAAUAUUUAUAUUAUUUGUAUAAAUAUUUUGAUAUUUGUUAUUUACACCAAUAUUUUAUAUUUUACAAUUUAAAAUUUAUUAUUUAUUGACUAAUAAUUCUAGAAAAAUAAAAAAAAAUAUUAAAAUAGAGAAAUGGGGAGGGGACGGGGAUUACACCUCAUCCCCAUCCCUUCCAUGAAUAAGUAAUUGGGUAAAAAAUCAUCAUCGUCCCUUCCCCGAAUAAGAAGUUUGGUAUAAAAUCGUACAUGUACCCUCACCAAAUGGGAAAAAUCCCCAAGAGCCCCCAUCCCCAUCGGGAUUUCUGCUAUUCCUAAAUUAGAAUAAAUUAUUUAUUUGAACUGUAGGAAUCAGAAUCAAAAUAAGUUGGAUUAUCAUUUAUGUGUCUAUUUUGUCUUGGAAUUAAAAUCAAAAUGAUUUACAUUUUAACAACUUACUAAAAAGUGCUUAAUGAGCUAUUGUCAUAAUUAUUAUUUUAUAUUUUAAUUAUGGUAAUUAUUUAUUCAAAAAUUAUAAUAAUUAUUAUUGUUAAUAAUAUAUUCAUAUAUUAAUUAAUUGAAAAUUAUUUAAAUUAAUUAAUUAUUAAUAGAUUAAUUAUAAUAAUACAUUAAUUAAUUAUAACUGAGGAUAAAAUAUAUAUUUUUUAUUUUGUGAGGGGAUAAAAUGGUCAUUUCAAGGAAUGCGAGAGUCAUUCCUGCCUCCCUUGAGAAUUAAUCUUCCAUUUGUCAUUCCCAAAUUGCUGUGGACUCAACGAUUUUCAAUUCCGAUUCUUGACUCUAUUUUGUGAAGUAAAUGCUCUCAAUAAUUUCGAUUCCUCAAUCCGAAGAAGUAAAUGCACAGGUACUGUUUCUUCUAAAGCUCAAACUUGUCAGGUUUGAGAGACCUGAUAGAUACUUCAGUCAUGCAUCUAAUCCAUCAUAAGACAAACUGAAAGUUAGAAAUAAAAGGGACAACUCAAGGAAAAUGCACACAAGUGAGGUUUCAAAAUUAAAAUAGACACUUCAGCUGCAAAUCAGCAUACAUAUACAAUGGAGGUCAUACAAAUAUCAUUUCUACAACCGCCCUACUGUAUUCUUGAAUGAAGAUUGGUUUAGAGUCAAGUAAUAAGAUAUUUAAACUCAAGACAAAAAAAUACAAUAAAAUUUGCUGGAACUUAUAAGUAACUUACUCUCAUCUCUCCUCCUAAUUUAAUUGGACAUGCGUAAAUUUUCCAUGUUACUAUGGAUGAAAUAAAUUUUCUUUUUAUAAUAUAUGUAUGCAUUAAAAAAAAUUAAUAAUAAUAACUUUUACAAGCAUUUAUGCUUGUAUUAAUACUCUACUUUUUACCACACGAUUGCUUCAGUAAAUGGUGGAUGUUAAGAGAACAAUAAUAAUAGAAUUACAAACAAUUGCAUACUAUUAACUAACUUAACACUAUAAUAUUGUUUAUGGUGUAAGCACUCGAGGUAAUGUUAAUAUGCCAAAGAUUUAAAAAUAUUAGUUGUAGCUUUUGAAGAAAAAUAUACUUUCAGUUAGAAGGAAAAAAAAAAAAAGAAGAAGCUUUCUAACAAGAUAUCAAAAUGGUUAAUAAAAAGAGCAGUAGUAAUGUUACGAGGGGGUUCAAAUGGAGGGGCACGGGAAUUUCCAAAUUUGUAUCCAUUAAAUUUACCAAAAAAAAAAGAGAUUGGAUUGUUUUUUACAUAUUCUUAAUGUCACUUACUUGUUAUUUUUUUAAAUAUCAAACUUGUCAACUCUUAGGGGAAACAGGUAUUGGGGAAACAUGUAUUUAAGGGACUUUGUGCGGCUAAUUCUCAUCAUUCGCUACUCUAAACUUUAUUUUACAGAUUUGCGCAUCAUUUAUAACAUUUAAUUAAAUACACUUAAAUUAUAUAGAUUCAACGGUUCAACCUUCAUAUAUCACAUGAAGAGAAUACUGAAUUUUUAACAUCUCUCAUCAAGAGAUUGUACUGUGUUUACUCAAUUAGAUACUAAGUUUAUAUUCCAACUAAUGUCUUAAUAGUAUUUGAAUUAAAAAUGAUAAAACUUAAUAAUUAAUUAUUGCUUAAGUCAAUUAAAUAGUAUCAUAUCAUUUGUUUUAAAAAAAAAAAUCUUUGUUGUUUCAAGAUUAUUAAUCCUUUUUCAUUUAUUUAUUAUCAUUACUAUCUGCAACUAAUCAUAAUGAUUUGCAUCAACAUGUGAUUGUUUUUUUGACUCCAAGAACAGCUUGUCAAUAACAUGAAGUUUAUUUCUGACCGCCAAAGACCGAUACUCACUGGACAAAUUCCUAAAAGAAAGAUUCAAAUUCCAAUGUCUUAUACUUAUUUGAUUUGCAGUUCUUGUUAUGCUAAUGACUAGAAUGAGGCAAAGUGUUUUUUAAUUGAGAUGAUGGAUCUAAGGGUGCAGCAUGAUGUUGUGAUUUUCAAUGUUGACCAUAUAUGAGCUUUGUGAAAAUAGAAAGAUAGAAGAAGCAUGUAGGUUUUUAGAAUCGCAUCAAUGGAUGGGUUUUGCUUGACCUAGGGAACUAUUUGUUUCUGUGGAGAAUAAAGGGUGCAGAAAUGAUGUUGCUAAAUACAACAAGUUGAUAAAUGGGUAAUGCAAAAAGAAAGAAGUAGAGGAAGCGUUAGGCCUUUAUAGCGAAAAGCUUUCUAAAAGAAUUCUCCUAGAAUAUGUUGGGGGGAUGGAGCAGCUGCCCCCAUCGUACCCUAAGCCAACAGACUCAAAAUUGGAUGGGAACUUUUUUCAUUGAUUAUUUCACGAACGCCCGAUUCCAAAUAUGUAACAUACAACAUCAUGAUUCAUGGGCUUUGUAACAAUGGGCAAAUGGAUACGGAAGCAAGGCGUACGACGCCCAGUUGUGUCAUGUUUACUAAGCUUAUGCGAAAGAAUGACACAUCAAAAGCUAUUGAACUUCCUCACUCAAUGGAUAAGAGAAAUGUAAUGCGGGAUGCAUCUACACUUGCAACUGUUGUGGACUUUCUUUUAAAGAAUGAUAUCCGUUUAAACUCGAUUCCAGAAUUCAAAAGCCAAAAUUGAAUAUUGAUUUAGUAGCAUGUUUUUCUGCCUGCUGAAAAUCGGAUAUGGAGGAUCCGUUUCAUUAUACCAAAUGUGAACGAGUGUCACGUUGUGAGGGCAAUGUAAAAUCCUCGCCAUCUGGUUCGGUUCACCAAAGAAACUUCCCCAUUAAUUUCUUGAAAAAGUUAAGUUAAAACUGUAAAUGAAAGAAUCAUGAUGAUCUGUUUUGGUUUGUGAGAUGUUAGAAAGAGGCCAUUGUUAAAUAGACAUGAAUGCUGGAGAAAACUGUUAUGUUCUUUUAUUGAAUUAAGUUGAUCCUACUCGAUCUCUGCAUUUUAGAUUCCUACUUCAGAGUCGAAGAAGUGAAAGAUGGUGUGAAAAAAUUGUAUGCUUAAGUUAAUUUGAAUCCUUGUUAUUUAAUAAAAGCUAAGCUUCUUUCAAUCCGCACCUACGGUGGUCAUUUUUUUAUAUAUAUGGCGGCUAAUAAAUGGAUAAGAAAUAAUGUUUUUAAAAGACAUUUUUUUUUUCAAACACUAAAAAAGUUGCAGAAAAAAUAUUUAAAUAAUCUUGAUGUAUGUAUCUAAUAGCGUGUUUGUUAAGUGGAAAUAAAAAUGAGGGAACGAGAUACAUAAACUUAUUUACUUAUAAAGAGAGUAGGAGGAUUGAGAAUUAAAUUUGCUGGCCUCACAUCAAUUUAUGACUAACUCUUCGAUUUCUAAUUUCUAAGGGGGAUUUAGAAUCUAAAUCUCAUUUUCAAGACGGACUAUACUACCCCGCCCAAAUGUAAUAAUUUUCAUUUUGUCCUUCUUUUAAAUAUUUAAAAAAUAAAUAAAAAUCGCAUGAGUACUGUGCAAAGAUGGAUUGUUCUUGUUAUUGUUGAUGUUACUAUUACUAGCACCGCAUUACAUAUUAUUAAAUUAUUUUAAAUAUUACAAAUUAAAUUAUUUUUAAAUGAGUGAUAAAACCUGAUCAUUUAAUAACCAUGGCCAUUUAACAUAUUUAAACAUAAAAUUUCGUGUUAAAUUAUGUUUGAGUAUAAGGAUAAUGUAAGAUAAUUGGUACUUUAAUUUACAUUUAUGUGCCAACUGAAUAAAGUUCGCUAUUUAAAUUAAAUUAGAAACGGUGAAAUUCAAAAAUUAACUAUUAUUUAGCCAUUCAAACGCAGAGACAAUUUGUCACGGUUCCAAAAGCAUAGCAUCAUUGAAAGUACCGUAUCCCACUUGUAUUAAUAUUCGGAAGAAUGGAAGGAAAAGGGCAUAUGUUUCUCUUCUUCUAUUUUGGUAAUUCUUUUCUUCUUCUUCAACCCCAAAUAAUCAAAAGCUCUCCAAUGGCUUUCGUAUCCUCAACUCGUUCCUUUCAUUUUACUUCAAUUUCAAUAUCGGCUCUUAGAUGUAAUUUCUCCUCUUCGUUCCCUCAUACCGGAAAACCCAAAUCUUCAAUUUUGGAAAAUGAGCCUUCAGAUCCGACUACAACAGCUAAACUGAAGGAGUCGCUACGACUGACGGUCAAAGACCGAGCCUCACUCGAAAAAUUCCUCAAAGAAAGGUGCAAAUCAUCCGGUGAAGGUGAUAUUACUUCUAUUACUCCUAAUGAAGCCUUGUGUGUCUUUGAUUACAUGCUCAAUAUGCGCCCUUCUAGGCCUCCCGUCACUUCCUUCAAUAUUUUGUUUGGUUGUCUUGCUAAGACUAAACAUUAUGAUACUGUCCUUUCACUAUUCAAGAGACUCAAUUCCACUGGGUUGUUUCCGGAUCGUUAUACUUACAAUAUCUUGAUUAACUGCUUUUGCAAAAUGGGUCGAGUUUCUCAUGGUUUUGUUGUUCUUGGGAGAAUCCUCAGGUUUUGCUUUACUCCAGAUGCUGUGACCUUUACUUCUUUGAUUAAAGGUUUGUGUGCGGAGAGUAGAAUCAUGGAGGCCGCCGCAUUGUUUACGAAACUUAGAGUGUUUGGUUGUGAGCCUGAUGUCAUUACGUACAAUACUUUGAUUAAUGGAUUGUGUCGAACCGGCCAUACAAUUGUUGCUCUAAAUUUAUUUGAAGAGACGGCCAAUGGAAAUAGGAAAUUUGGUGUUAUUUGUAAGCCAGACGCUAUUACAUACAAUACUAUUAUAGAUGGUCUUUGUAAGGAAGGUUUUGUGGACAAGGCCAAGGAACUGUUUCUGCAGAUGAAGGAUAAGAAUAUUAACCCAGAUGUGGUUACUUAUAACUCUUUGAUUCACGGUUUUUGUUACGCUAAUGAUUGGAACGAGGCGAAUUGUUUGCUUAUUGAGAUGAUGGAUCAAGGGGUACAGCCUGAUGUUGUGACUUUCAAUGUGAUCAUGGAUGAGCUCUGCAAGAAUGGGAAGAUGGAUGAAGCAAGUAGGUUGUUGGACCUGAUGAUUCAGCGUGGUGUGCGUCCAAAUACUUUUGUCUAUAGCACAUUAAUGGACGGGUUUUGCUUGACUGGUAGAGUUAAUCAUGCGAAGGAACUAUUUGUUUCUAUGGAGAGUAUGGGUUGCAAACAUACUGUUUUUAGUUACAGUAUUUUGAUAAAUGGUUACUGCAAGAAUAAGGAAAUAGAGGGAGCGUUAACCCUUUAUAGCGAAAUGCUCUCUAAAGGAAUUAAGCCAGAUGUUGUUAUAUAUAACACCUUGUUUACUGGCCUUUUUGAAAUACACCAGGUUGAGCGUGCUUUCAAGCUGUUAGAUGAGAUGCAACGUGAUGGCGUGGCAGCUGAUACCUGGACAUAUAGAACCUUUAUUGAUGGGCUCUGCAAGAAUGGUUAUAUUGUAGAGGCAGUUGAACUAUUUCGUACUUUGAGAAUUCUCAAGUGUGAACUUGAUAUUCGAGCCUACAACUGCCUCAUUGAUGGAUUAUGUAAAUCCGGCAGACUCGAAAUUGCACGGGAACUAUUUCGUAGUUUGCCUUGUGGAGUCCUAAUAGCAGAUGUUGUAACAUAUAACAUCAUGAUCCAUGCGCUUUGUACUGAUGGGAAAAUGGACAAGGCACAUGAUUUGUUUCUUGAUAUGGAAGCAAAAGGUGUAGCACCCAAUUGUGUCACAUUUAACACGCUUAUGCUAGGUUGCAUCCGCAAUAAUGAGACAUCAAAAGUUGUUGAACUCCUUCACAGAAUGGAUGAGAGAAAUGUAAUACCAGAUGGAUCUACACUUUCAAUUGUUGUGGACUUACUUGUAAAGAAUGAAAUUAGCUUAAACUCGAUUCCACAAUUCAAGAGUCAAAGUUAAAGUGAGUUUAUAUUGAUUUAGUCUCAUGUUUCUUCUGCCUGAAAACCCGAUCUGGAGGAUCCCAUUCUUAUUACAACAUGUAAAGGAGUGUUGUCUAAUGUUGGCAUGUUCCUAGGUUCUGUCCAUGGAUUCUGUUUGCAGACAUGGCUAACUUCUUGUCCAACAGAUAAGUUUUAAAGUCUUUCAACUUUAUGUUGUAAAAUAACAUUUUUAUUAUUCAAUUCAUGAGUUUUCCUUCUGUAACACAUCCUUCUCAUUAGCUGGAAGUGCAAAUUUUUUAGGCUUUUCCUUAUGGCCUCUUUUUCUUCUCUAAAUAAAAUGGCAUUUUGUUUCCCUCCUGUGAGGUACAACGUUUAUGUUCAAACUUUCUGUUAGUUAAGUUGGUUGUCUUUGAUAUAGGGAACUUCCAGUUGAACUGAUUUGUAAUUCGAGUAUAUGAGAUUACCAACUGUAUUGGGAAUUGAUGCCAAAUUAAUUAUGUCAUCAGGUUUUUCAAUCAGCGUUCAUCAUUUAUUUCUAUUAACAGUUAAUAGCACAGCUUGUCUUCUCAGCUUCAUUGAUUCCUCUAAAAAAUAAUCUUGUAAAGACAAUUUUUUUUUUUUUUUUUGGCGUGGUAAAUGCUAGAUAGUUUGUGGUCUGAAUGAUACUAAUAAUUGCCCAAAUUGCCAUGUAACAAGGAGUGUUGCAUAGUGAUGUCAUGCUCACAGGUACCACUCAUCAACAUGGCCAACGCUUUCGAUGCAGUCAUUAUUAUGGAAAUUCAAGAGUUCUCCUCCUAAGAGGUCUCUCUCUCGUUCUCUUAAUUUCCUUAUUCUGUUUUGGAAGUAAUGUAAUGGGAAAAUAGCAUUUAAUUUCCUUGUGUGUGACAUUUUCUUCUAUAAAUGCUAUAAAAUAUCUUUUUUUUUCAUCAUUGAUAUGUAUUACACAAUCAGAAGACUACUCGUAUUUAUAUGAAACAUCUACUUUAUGGCACAGUUCAGAUUUUUAUCCUUAUAAAUAUUGGAGGGAUAUCUUUAUGUUUCUUCUGUGAUAACGUUUCUGCGUGCUGCAACCUUUUUAUUAGAUUGAUAGAAUGUGAAUACAAGGAAAUUCUGUUUGAUAAUCUCGGCAAACCAGGAUUAAUAUGAAAUGGAGCGUCAUCAACAAAUACUUAGCAUAUUGCUGACUAUGAUUUGUUCUCCUCCCCUCAUUCUUUUUGUGAGUAGAAUUGGAUUGUGAAACUUGUUAUGUCAGCACAAGUGUUCUUACAAGUUGACGUAAAAUACACUGACUUGAAAUAAUGGCAUGGUAAUUGGUAUAGAUAAGCUAGCAUGAGUAUAUUUUGUCACCAAUUUCGCCAACCGCGUCUGGGUGUGGAAAUUAUAUUGCAUUUCUAAUGUCAUUUGAAAGAAAAACUUGCAAAAUUUGUAAUUUGUUAAAUCUGAACCGUGGUUCACAUCUACUCUUCCCGAACUUGAGUCAUAUGAUUCAAUUUUUUAGUGGGCAUGGCGAGAUAGAUUUCUACCAAGCCCAACCCAUUUAUCUACCCUUUUGUAAUUUUCUAUCAUGCAUAUAUUUAUAUUUUUGUAUAGUUAAUAUCUAAUUAUUUAUGUAUUUUUAUCGAAUAACUACUAAUUAUAUUUUUCUAAAAAAUCGGCAUGAAAAGUUCAACUUAAUAUUGAAUUAAAUUUUGAUAAGUAUAUGUCAAAUGUUUGGAAUUCUUUUUCUAGUCUUCAUGAUUGAUUAAUUGGAAAAUAAAUGUGUAUGUAUUAAAAUGGUAUUGGAUAAACAUGCCCCUAUCACCCAAGUUUUCCUUUGGAUAAUUUCCUAACUUGCAAGUUGAUAUCGAUGUUUAAAAAGAACCAAAAAAAAAAAAAAAAAAAUACAUUGAAAUCUUUAUAAAUUACUUCUUGACCUAAUAGUUGACACUUUCUCACCUUAUUCUUGAGGUUGAAGGUUUGAAUUUUCUUAUGUGGAUUUUAGGUGAACUACAGAAAAACAGCUUAUAUGAGACAUUUUCAAAAUAAGUAUGAAUGUGGUACUUAUUCAUCAGAUGGACAUAUUAAUGACGUGAUAAAUUCGUGUUAUGUAAAUUUUCCAGACUGUAUAUUUAUAUUAUAAUAUUAAAUAAAUAAAUAAGAAGAAAGAAAGGAAAAUGCAGCUUCCAAAUUUUUUCAUAGAUUGGCUAUAUGCACAAACAGCAAAUCAAAACAAAAAGAAAGGAUGUGACAUGACCUUACUUCCUGUUAUCCCAGUUAUGGAAUUCAAGUCAAUCUUUGAAGUAAUGCACUUUUAUUACUCUAUGACAGAGACAGGUCCAAGUCUUUCUUCCAAAUUCAUAAUCUUCAACAUUUCUCCAACCAAUCAAGCAAGGCUAGAGAUAGGUAACAUACAUUUUGAUGUACAUUUGGCUUUUGUAUCAUCUACUUCACUAGUGAUCCAUUAAAUGGAUCCACCAUUAACGUAAAUGCUAGUUUAACUAUUGACAGUGGAGCAAGUAUGUAUGUGGUCCCUACGCACAAGCAUACACGCCCAUUAAAGCAUUUACUCUCCUCAUCAUUGGAUAUGAAUUUUGUGAACUAUAUAUCUUUUUGGGGGUUUCAUUUAUCUUUCCGGUCUCUUAUGAUCAUUCACGGCUCCUGCUGCUGCUUCUUAUUGGCUCUUUGACAUCCUCUGUCUUGUUCUUGCUGUGUGUGUCAGCCACUAGCAACUGCUUCAAGCAAUGUGAGUUUGUUGCGUGAGCUUCCGUUUUGGUUAUUUUCAAUUAUUAUUUUUGUUGAUGGGUUUGUGAUUUUGUGCUGUAUUAUUACAGGAUUACACUGUUUAUAUGGAAGAGAGAAGAUAUGAUGAGCCUUAGCUGGUUCAGGAUUCGGACCAUCAGAUUCUUUCGGAUAUUCUUGGAAGGUUUAUAUUUCAAUCUCUUUAGCCGAAUUUACCUAUUAUAUUUUUAUCAUAUAAACGCUAUGCAAAAUGUUUAUGUUAAUGUAUGGCGAAAAUUGAAAAAUGGAAAAUAAAAAUAUUUGUGCUGCUUUCACUAUUUAUCUAUGUUAAUCUGUUUGAUAAAAUGAAGUGGAUGUCAUUAUUUCCAUGCAUCAGUAAUUACAAUCCAUAUUAUGCUCUUGCUAGUCUGUGCUCCAUUUGAACAUCGCAACGAACUUAUUUACUUACAUAUAUUUUGUGCUUUCUGGUUGGAAAUUGGAAGUUUUAACCAAUUUCUGAUCAGAAACAGCCCUUUUGAGUGCUAUGGCAGAAACCGCAGACGCGGCCUAACCUUCAUUUUUAAUUUGUAUCAAUUGGUAGUUUUUUAUAACUCUCUCUUUUCCCCUCUAUCAAUAAUGAAUGGUAUUCGCUAGAGAAACCGUAAGGGGACUAAUCAUUGUGAAAAGCACUAGGUGAUAACUAGCAGUUUCAAUUUGACAGCAAAGAAGCUGCUAAGGAAUCAAUUCUCUGUACAGCCACAAGCAUGGUUUUUCUGGAUUUGCCGCAGUCUUAACAGUCUCAAGCCAAGUUAACUGCAGGUGUUAUAAUGUUGGUGAAUGAAAUCUGUUUUAGCUGUCCAAAUUUGUUUUAUUAACCAAUAUUUUCUGUUGAUACGUUUUGUAUGAUGCAUUUGUGCAGAUCACCCUGCCGUGGUCUGUAUUGUACCAAAUAGGACACUCAGUUUGCACACAACCAAAAUGUUGUGAAUGAAAUUCCUUCAAAAGGCCAUUCAGGCGCUGGAAGUUAUUUUCAGAUUCAUGGAAAUAACUAUAAUACUGGUGGCAUUUAGUUUCCAAGUGAUCUUGGUAGUUCAAUAAGUUCUAGUUCUACACUUGUUUCCAAAGGUUUUGGUUACAUGAUGGUCUGCCCGUUGAAUUACAAACUUGUGAUGAUUUGUACAAGAGGAAAAAAUGUAUUGGUUGGAAUUUUUGUUUCAUAUGAUAUAACUCUGUGAAACAGCUUUACAUUUUGUGUUCAAGUUGAACAACAUACAAUUUGAACGAAGAUUAUUCAAUCAAAUUGAAGAUUUCUGUUUGAAUAUUUUGAAUGACAAAAUUAAAUUUACUUUCAUGCAGAUGCAGUAGCAUUUAAUCAAGUUCCUUGUGCUGUUGAAACAAAAAUAUAACAUCCUUGCUUGCAUUUCAACAUGAUAUGAUGCUACUCUUUUACUGUUAACCAACACACAUACAUCAUGUAGGCCUAAUGGCAAAUGUUGUAAUAUAUAACAUCAUGAUCCAUGGGCUUUGUAAUGAUGGGCAAAUGGACAAGGCAUCAUGAUCCCCCCCCCCCUCCUUUUUUGCUAUGGAUUGUAUUUCUUUUUUUUUCUACUUUUACUUGCGUUGACAAUUUGAGCUUGCUGUCUUGUGGUCUUAGAACCUGCUAAAGUAAGCGUGUAAGCGACAGUGAAGAAGGGGAAGGGUUUACUCGUCAUUUUCUUUUUGAAAGCAAUGCGUUUUAUGCGGUGAUAUUUUUUUUAUCUACGUUGUGAAAAAAUUUGACUGAUUUUGAAGAUCCUUAAAGAUCGUCCAUCUUGGUUCUGGCAUUGUUGCAGCCUUGAAGUUUGCAAAAUGAUUCCUGCUGGAUAAAUUGAACAGCUGCCUCUUUGAUGGAUUAUGUAAAUCUGGCAGACUUGAGUUUGCAUGUGAAUUGUUUCGUAGUUUGCCUCGUCGAGUCCUCGUGGCAGAUGCUGUAACAUAUAACAUCAUGAUCCAUGGGCAUUGUGACGACGGCCGAAUGGAUAAGGCACAUGAUUUAUUUCUUGAAAUGGAAGAAAAUGCUGUGGCACCCAAUGUGAUCACAUUUGGUACGUUUAUCCAUGGUUUUAGCCAAAUCAAUGAGCCAUCAAAAGUUAUUGACCUUCUUCACAAGAUGAGGGAGAAAAAAGUAAUGCCAGAUGCAUCUAUAGUUUCAAUCGUUGUGGACUUACUUGUAAAGAAUGAAAUUAGUCUGAACUCACUUCCGUCAUUUCCUGUCCAAGAGCGACAGGGGGAAGUUGAUGAGUGAAAUGUCAAGUUGUAGCAGCAUGUGCUUUCAGCCCAAAAUCCUGAUCCGCAGCAUCUCAUUCAUGUUACAAAAUGACAUGUUGGCUGGUGACAGCAUGUUCUCUCCGGUGCUGUUAAUGGAUUCUGAUUGUUCUUGUGAUCUGGAGAGUUUCAUUCAUAUUACAGAUCCUUAUCAGGACGAGCUAGCAUAUGUGAUCACCAACUGUACAUGGUUGUUGAUGCCAAAUUAAAUUAUGGUAUCAUGUUUUUCAACUUGUUAUUUAAUAUAGUGCUUCCAUUGAACGGCCACAAGAAACUGUAGAAUCACCGUGUCUUGUUUAGAAGCUAAUGAAUUAGUUGCACCUUGUCACUUUAUUGAGACUUGAUUGUCAUUUGUGCUUUGAAUUUACAGCAUAUUUUAUCCUUGCUGUACUCUUUGCAUAAUCACUUUUGAGGGCUGCUAGUAUGUAUAAUUGAAAAACCUUAUAUAAAUUGUAAGCAUUUUUAUUUAACUUGUUGUAAACGUCCAGUAUAUGUCUCUCCUGUGAAAUGAUUCAUUCUCCAUGCUGCUAGGGCCUAGGCUUAUGACUCUCUGAAAUGAUUUACCCUCACCUGCGCACAGACAUUUAUCACAUUCGAGAAAUCUUCAAACAAUGUGAAAAAAAUGCCUCAAACACGACAUAAACUUAGUUGUUUACAUGAAAAGUGGCAGAAACUUGGUGAAAUUACCGAUUAAACUUCCAAAUAACAUUUCAAAUGGUAUUGUGAAAAAUUUCACUCUUUUGGUAAUAAAAAAGAACCUUAUUUCUAGUUCUCUAUUAACAAUCUUACCACUAAGUUCUCUCUUAAGUAAACACAUAUAUAUGUUAAUUUAUUGUUAAUAUAAACAAAACUAAAUAUUUAUAACUUAAAAGAUAAGUGUUGAAUAGAGGCGUUCUCACAGGGAAAAAAAAAAAGUAUUUAAAAAUAGUGGUGAUAUCAUAAUUUUUUAUAUUGAUACGAGAAUAUCACACUAAAUUUUUAUACCAUGUAUUGGCAAGACAAAGUUUCUUGAAACUGACAAACUUUUCUCUAUGAAGAUUGAAGACAAUAUGAUAAGAUAAAAUUUAUCAAAAGCAUAUAUGCUUGCCAGGGCUGGACCUUUGAUUUUUAGUCCUCGCCUUUCGUUCUUGUUUCAUAUUCUUCUGCUAACAAAUCUUGAUCAGGAUGAGUCUCCUUUUUUCUUUAAAAAAAACCCACACGUAAAGUCUUGGCCAUAAGCCUCAAGACCUAUUGGCUGUUGCAGUGGUGAGUUCACUCUCAGGAAUCAAAUCUUUCAAAUUCAAGCGAAUUUGAAGAAGCUCGAAUUUGAAGAAAUUUCAAAUGCCUCGUGCAGGCCUAAUGCCAAAUGUUGUAACAUAUAACAUCACGAUUCAUGGGCUUUGUAACGAUGGGCAAAUGGAUGAGGUACAUGAUAUAUUCACGCUUCUGUCUAUAACACAUUAAUGGAUGGGUUUUGCUCGACGGGUAGAGUUAACCAUGCGGAGGAACUAUUUGGUUCUGCCAUUGUUGCAGCCUUGAAGUUUGCUAAACGUUUCCUGCUGGAUAGAUUGAAAAAGUUUGUCUGGAUGGCCUGGUUUUGAAUUGAUUUUAAUAGAAAACGAGCUUCAAGCAUGUGCUCCAACUACUCUGGCAUGAGGUAAUACUAUAAUUUAUUUAUUUUUAAUGAGUGAGGCUAUAAAUCCUGAAUUCCAACUUGACAUGGCAUUAAUCUGGUGAGUGGCAGAAUAUUAAUUAAAACAAAAUCAUUUUCAACUUAACUUUCACAUCAAACAGAGGGGCUAAUAUGCUUUCCGGAUUAUGAUCCGCUGGCAAUCGGAAAGCCAAAAAAUUAAUUAUUCCAUUAUUAAUUCCAAUAGUAUCGCUGUAUCAGCUAAAAAGCACAAGAUUAAAUUGAUUUACGCACUUGCACCAUUUAUUUAAGCAUACUGUUGGUUUAGCGUUUGCUUAAAUUUGAAAGUAGAGUGUUUCCAUGCCACAGUGCCAUGACAUUGGUGAUUGGCCAACAGUUUUUUUUUUUUUUUUUUUUGUGUAAUCUUUUUUGGUUGCAGUAAUAAAAUGUUAAUCCUUUCUUCUCAUGAAUGUUUUCUUGAACUGAAAUGUUAAUCAUUUCUUCAUGUUGAGGCAUUAAACUACUACAGACCUAGGGUGGCAAUAUAUGGAAGUAAAUGGUCGUUUAGUAGGACCCUUUAAUUAGGGUAUUAGCUGCUCAAUUUGGAGAUCUCAUGGACCAACAAUUUAUCUGGAAUGUCACAUUCACAUAUUUGAUUGAAAAAGGAAUUAAGGAAUUUCAGGUGGCCCGGAAACGCAACCAACUAUACCCGACAAUGGCAGAAGACAUUAUAGAUUAUCGAUUAUUGAGUUAAAUAUGAAUGGUGGGAUUUCAGGUGGCCUAAAAAGUUAAACAUGAAUGUUCUACAUAAGGUUAUCUGUAACUUGAAGUUCAACAAAAAGUUUUAAAACUAGAUAUUACAAUGGUGGGAUUUUGCCUUUUAUCUCUUGUUUCUCUUCCCUUAAUCGUUUCUUGGCAUGUUUUAUCAGCUCUUCCUUUGGGUCAUUUUGUAGGACGGGUUACACCAGCUAAGCACAUGGAAAGGUUAUGUAGACUGGACUCUGGAGGAAUAAACCUGCCCUGAGAGGCCGUCAUGGUGGCAUGCUUUGCUGCUUGUUUUGUCUUGGGUCGGUCUAUUUUUCCUAUUACUAAGGCACAUUUGCACCGUUAUGUCUUGCGAACGAUUAAACAUUUACACUUUAUAGUAAAAAAAAUUACAUAUUAAGAGAAAUAUUAUAUUUGCAUGCUGAUAUGAAUUAGCACUAGAAACAUGAGGCUUGCUAAUUAGAAUUGUUAUAUUGUCAAACUCAGCUGUGGAGGUACUGGAGAAUCCAGUAUAUCUGGCCAAUGCAAGCAACCUUGUGCUGUAUCUUUCAAAGUUUAUGCGUUUUUCACCAUCCAGCUCUGCAAACAUAGUUACCAAUUUCAUGGGUUCCUCUUUGCUCUACUUGGUGGCUUUUUUACGGUUGCUUUCUUCAACACCGACAGCAGCUAUGUCAUAAGUGAGCAAUAGAAUUCAUGGUAAGUUUUUUGUUAGGAUCAAACUUUUUAACUUGUUAAAUUUUUGUAAUUUCUUACUAAUAAGGCAGAGUUGCCUAUUUUUAUCCGAUUAUCAUGCCUCAUACAAUUUUCUUGGGAUUUGCUUCGAUGCCUCUGUGACUCACCAUGAAACUCAAAAACUUUCUAAAACUAGCUCCAAAUACACAUUUCUUUGGAUUAAACUUCAUUUGGUACUCCCUCAGCAAACCAAAUGUUUCUUUCAAAUGCUGCACGUGGUCACUCGAGUUGUGAGACUUUGUGAUAAUGCCAUCCUUAUAUGCCUCCAUUAUGUUCCCAAUCAGCAGCUUGAAGAUCUUAUUCACGAAUCUCUAGUAUGUUGCUCAAACAUUUUUCAAGCCAAAGGACACGACAUUAUAACAAUACAGCCCUUGGUUAGUAACAAAAGAAGUAUGCUCCUCAUCCUGCUCGAACAUCGGUACAUGGUUGUAAUCCAAAAAGGCAUCUACAAAGCUGAGAAGUCCAUGUCUAGUUGUGGAAUCGACCAACUGAGCUAUUUUAGGCAAUGGAAAAAUAUCUUUGAGGCAUACCUUAUUGAGGUUCAUGAAAUCCAUGCACAUUCUCCACCUCCUGUUCACUUUCUUCACCUACAUCACGUUCGAAAGCCGCUACGAGUUGUUUACCUCCUUGAUGAAACCUGCAUGUAAAAUUUUAUCCACUUCACUACUAAUGCCGUCAUACCUAUCCUAGUUAAAGCAUCUUCUGUUUUGUUUCAUCGGUCUCGCAUCUCUGCUCACUGCUAACUUGUGACAAGCCGCCUUGGCAUCGACCCCUGGCAUAUCUUUGUCCUGCAAGCCAAACACAUUAAAAUGUGGUUGCAACAACUCCACCAGCUUUGCUUCCAAAUCUUCCCCAUGGGUGGCUUUAAGUAUAGGCGAACAAGGCCGUCGCCUAAGCUCUCAUAUUUUAAGAAGACCUCAUUUUUUAAGUAUUUCCUUAAUAAUUCUCUAAUUAAUAAAAUAUUUUAAUAUAUAUUUUAAGAAAUUAAAAAGUUUAUUAGAUAUCUCUCUAUUCUUAAUUAUUCUAUAAUUAAGAAUUAUUUUUUAUAAAAAAAUCUAUAUUUGGGAACCUUAAUUUUAAAGAAAUAAUUAAUACUAUUCUUUAACCAUUAGUUCAUUCCUUUUCAAUUAUUCAAUGUUAGCAUAUUUGACUUUUAAUAUUUCUUUUAAUUUCUAUUAAAAACCUCAUAAUCUCAAGAAUUAGUAAAUGAAAAAAAUUUAUUGUUCGCUUCUCUACAAAUAAAAUUUUUAUAUUCGUUGGUUCAUUUAAAAUAAUUAGUUUCUUAAAAUAUAAAGUCCAUUUUUAUUUUUGAACAUCAAUUCAUCAUUUUAAAAUUUUUAUAUUCUAUCUUUCUAAAUAUUCUAUUUGAAAAUAAAAUUGUUUUUAUUUAUUUGUUUGUUUAUUUUUUAACGGUUUUAAUGGAAUAAAAAAAUUAUCUUCUUGACUAUUUUUUAGGUUUUAUUUUUUAAAUUUUUGAUUUUUUUAUUAUUGUUGAAAUUCAAGAAUUAAAGAUGGAAUAAAUUUUGAUCCUUUGUAUAUAUCUUUGAGUAUUAAAAUUACAAAACAAUAGAGGUCUCAUAAACAAAUUUCGCCUAAGGCCUCUCAAACUCUAAAGCUGGUCCUGAUCUUCCCCCUAGGGGUAGCCAUAAAUUUUGGGUUCGAUUUAGUUUAACCUUUAAAAUCCGAACAUGUUUAAACUUAGAACCUAUUCGUUUUUAAUUGUUUUGUCAAACUUUUAGGAGAUUAAAGGGGUGUGAAAGGACAUAAGAAGUCUUGUUAUGGCUUGGCCCUUUAUAAUAGAUAUUGGUGCACAUGCUCUUUUCUUCUAUAUUUUUAGAGAAAGAAAAUUAGUAUAUGAUCUGUUUGAAGUCGCCUGGAAUUUCAAAAAUCCUAUGCUUCAAUAUAUUAUUAAUCAAAUCCCCUUAUAUCUUGAUAAAAUCUUUUUUACUCUUUCAUUCGCAAGGAGCUGGAUGAUGGCUGGAAAUAAGGAAAUUCCUUUUUUUUUGUUUCACCCCAAUUGUUCUUGUAUUUGUAUAUUGCCAUAUAUCAUAAAAUACAAAUUUAUGUAUGUCAAAAUGAAAUCGAUCUUAAAAAAAGAAAAAAAAGAUCUCGCGUUACUGCCGCUUACACACCCCCAUGCCACAGCUGCUAUUAAUUCCGUUUGGCGCACCAGCAUUACAGCUUCUAGCUGUUCUUUCUUCCUUGAGUUGAUUUGGUUCCUCGUUCUAGGCUUCAAGUUAAUGUCGUCUUCAGCCAUUCUAGAGUCGUUUACUUUUGAUCUAGCUGUUGCUGUCUCUACCUCCUUCUUCAUUAAUUGCCAUCAGCCGCAUAAAGGAAGGAUGUGAGUUUAUGUUUACGAUUCCUAAUGGUGAUGAAUAAGACAUGGUGUAAGAGAUGUUGUUAACUGAAUUUAGUAUGCUUUCUAGGAUCAUAUGCAAUACAUAUGUAUUUCUUGUAUAAUUGUUGUUUGUAUAUUGUAUUUCAAUCGGGCAUGGCUAUCUUUGUCUUACUCUUGUACAUUUCUAUUACUUUAGAUAACUAUUAAGGUGUAGAUGGCUUUCACGGAUAAAUAAUAAGCAAUUUUAGGAGCUUUUCGUGUAAAAAUAUAGAACCUAUAUUGUUGAAAUGUCGAGUAUACUUAGUAGUUGAUAUUUGUUUAUAUUUUUACAUUAAUCUGGGAUGGGAUUUGAACUUUAUAACCGAAAUUGAAUCUAAACCAAAAUUAAGAUAAGAAUAUUCAAACUAAAUCGAUCCAAAAUGCAAACCUAAACCAAAUUGAGCUAAAUUAAAUUUGAUUUAGUUUGGUUUGGGUUUACUCUCUAAACCUGAUUGGAUUGACUUCUCCAACCCAAUUAAGUUUUAGCCCAAAUUGAAACCUAAACAACCUGAAUCAAAACCCGAUUUGCCCACCCUUAUGAUACGAACCCAUCCAAAAACUAACGCAACCCUAAUCAAUUUAAUCUCUAAGAUUAAAUAGAAGCACUACCCAAUGUUCAAUGAAAGCAUGAACCUUAGUAUGUGAGGAUGCUACAAUCAAUUAUGGAUGAUUUGAUUAUAAGUUAAGAGUUUGAAUGACACAGAAAUUUGAUAAAUUCAAAUAGUUUGUUUAAGAAUAAAAAAGAAUUAACUCUCUCACUAAUUGCAUCAAAAUUUAUUUGUCUUUGUUUAUUAGAUGCGAGUACAUUAUAUAGGAUUGGUUACAAAAAUUUUUAGAAAUAAAUCCUAAACCGAAAUCAAAUCAGAAUCCUAAUCUAAUGCAAAUAAGAAAAGAAUUUUAGUCAAAUCAUAAUCCUAAUCAAAGCAAGUAGGAAAGAAUCUAAAUCGAGUCAAAAUUAUAAUCUAAGUAAAUAGGAAAGAAUCUAAAUAAAAUCAUAAUCCUAAUCGGUUUAAAUAAAUUACAUCAAUUAAAAUAAAAACUCAACAAUUAAAAGAGAAAUAACUUCUUGUUUCUCCACCAGCAUCAUCCAGAAACGGGAAAGUAUUCAAAAAGAAAAGUAGCAUAUUUUUCAAAUGGAAAAGUAUAUGAAAAAGAAAAAUAAGAUAUUUUCUCGCCGUAAUGUGCAAGCCAACUUCCUAUUUUAUGGAAGUGAUUAUUUGGAAACUUUAAGAGCCGUAAUCAUGUAUUUAUCACGUGCAAUUCCUUCAAUAGGCCUCUAUAAAUUUGAUCGAGCCUCAAUUACUUGAAUAAACCCAUUAAACGCUUCUUUAAAUUUGUUUGUUCGAGCUCUAGUGACAGGUCCAACGAUAACUUGAAUAGGAUUUGAAUAUAUCUCAUCCCACGUGCUUGUGAUAGUUUUGUCCUCAAUCUAAUCAUUUUACUUCCCUAAUCUCGACCCAAUCUUUAAAAUUUUUUCAUGCUAGCUUGACUUUACUAUGACUGCCUUGAGAUUUUCAACUGGUUUUUAUCUCUCUUUCUUGAAAUCUCUUCAAGUGUCAAGUUAUCUACGUGGCUUCUUUAGUCGCGGACACAUAAUCGCACCUAACAAUUCUCUAGUCACCCUUUACAACUUUUGCCACACUAUUUACUCAUUCUUUGAGUGCCAUGUAAUGGUUAGACAUCAUGGACUUGCUAAUCCUCAUAAAGGGUCUUCCAAAAAUUAUUUGAUAUGGGCUGUCUUCCUCGACUAUUAUAAAAAAAACUGGCAUGAUGGUCUUUUCAAAUGGUCCAGAGCCGAUCGUUACUAGCAGCUCUAGGCAUUAAUUUUCCUCUUCUAUAUCCUUUCAAAGAACUGUUGGUGUGCUUGUUGGGUAAAAAUUCAAAUACUAUGGGUGUCAAUGUGUAAGUAUACACAACAAGUAAUAUAAUGAUAAAUAUACAAGAUCAUCUCCACAGGGGUUGAUGUUACGAAAAUUACUACAGCAAGCUUAACAAUUUUGGUUGAAGUGAAAGUAGAUUGAUCAAUUAAACAAAUAAACUACCUAAUAAAAUGCAAUAAGUAAAUAUGCAGAAAAGCAAACUCUCAGGUCAAACACAAAAAUAAAAUCAAUAGGAAUGAAGUAGUUGAGUGACUAAACUCUUUUAAUGGAAUUGACUAUUUCUUGCAAAUUUCGAUUCAGUUGCUGCAGCAUCUGCUACAGUACUAGGCAUAAUCCUCAUGCAUCAUCAGCUGUCGCAUGUUGGAUGUCUUAUAUCUAUAUGCAACCUAACAAUGACCAAUUGUUAUGCCAACAUAAUAUAUAUCAUUACACAUUUAGGUUCUAUUUACCCUAUAAGGUGAAUCCCUAUAUCUAGUUCAUCACUAAUUUUAGAUUAAGUAUGACCUUUUUUGGAAUCAAGUUGAACUCAAUCUAGGAACCCAAUCUAAAACUAAAUAUUAUUCUAAUAUGUUCCACUAAGAUAAGCCAUUUUGUGGCUCUUUCCUAGCUUGUACCAUUAAAUGGGUAGUCAGCUAAAAUAAUGACUUUAAAUAAAUACUAUCACAACAAAAUGUUAUAGCAAACAUGCAGCCAGGGACGUAGCCAGGAUUUUGAUCGAGUUGGGGCACAUUUAAAAUAAAAAAUGACUUGAAUGCGCGAUUGCUCGUGUGGUAAGUGUGGGCCCCACAAACUCCAAAUGGGAGCUUGCCACAUGUACAAUCGUGCUCCUUAUAGAGUGUUUCUGACUGCAUCUAAUUAAAAUGCUAUUAAAAUAUAAUACACUUCUAAAAAUUUAGAUGGAAAUAUAUAACAUUAUGUUGAGUGUUAGAAAAUGGAUAUUUAUAAAGGAGAAAAUCGUCAUUUUACAUUUCAAGUCUUACUAACAACCCUUACUUUUAUGUAUUUAAGCUUCUUGUAAUUUAAUUAUGUGUGUUUGAUUUUAAUUAAGUAUUUUAUGUAUUUUAGGGGCAUCAUAGUCAAUUCACAAUAAAUGAGAGAUCAAACGAUAAAACGGACAUCACUUUUGAACUCAGGACGGUCGAAAACCUUAAGAGAAGCAUAAAAGGAAAAAUGGCACUGUUCACAUGUACGGUACUAUUCAUAUGUACGGUACUGUCUACGUUACUGUUCACGACACUGUUCAUAUAGACGGAUCGAUGACGUGGCAUUGACCGAUGAUGUGGCAUUCACUGAUGAGGUGUCAUGAUCCUGUUGGACUAAAAUUCUUAUGUACUGUUGAUGGUGACGUGGCAGCAUAUUAGUGGACUAAAAAACGUGUGUACGGUACAUGCAACACAUGGGAAUAUUUUCAACCAAACCGCAUUACUGUUCAAACCGUGUCACUGUUCAAACCGCGUGGUCAAACCGUGUUACUGUUCAAACUGCGUACUGUUCACUGAUGACGUGGCACAAUCCUGAGCAUCCAAACUGUUUUCAAUCCGAUGGCCAUGAUUUACUCAAUGUAUCUAUAAAAAUGGGACUUCUCCCCCCGAACGCAUGCGAUUGCUCAUGAGGAAUAACAUACCUGCUGAUAUCUUUUGGUUAAUCGAGGUGAAAGUACGAUUGGCAGGUGAGUUACCUCCAAAAUUUAUUGCAUACAUGCCUGGUUGUGGUAAAGAAAAUUAUGCAAGAAAACGAUGAGCUCGAAGAAUUUCUGUUGCUUGUCAUAAGUAUGCCAGAAUGAGUUGCGAUAAAAAUCCAUAUUCUUUAGGAAUGGCGUCUGAUAACAGGGAAUAUAAGAUUCAAUUCAUUAGGGAUGACUUGAAUAAGGAGUCAUUGGAUGAUAUCCUUUUAUCUCUUGAAACGCAUCCCAUUAGAUAUGUGCAAGGAACGAUUAUUCAGUUAUGACCAUUAUUCCAGAAAGAGCAUGCACGAUAUAGUCUCGGGAAUCUGACUAUAAACGACCAUGUUUGCCAGUUUAUAAAAAAAUUGGAUGGGAAGCCUAUCCUAGACCCAUAAAGGGCGUUCAAGCCGUUUCUGGACGUAAAACCAGAGGAAGAUGUGAGCCACAGUCGCAACUACCUGUAAAUAUCCUUUUACUUUACUGUUAUUUUAUUUUACUGUUGUUUUAUUGUUUGUAUUAUUGUCUUUAAUAAUUUUAUUGUUGUUUGCUUUUUCCUUUUUACUGUUUCCUUUUUUACUCGCGAACCAUGUGCUUUACGCGUUAUUUGACACUGACAUACUACCUCAUACACAGCUGUGACCCACUGUCCCCAAGAUUCUUAAAUAUGAAUUUUUGUCAAGCACUCACAAAUUAUUUUUGAGAAGUAUCCCAAUGACAGCUACUCCACAUAGACAAUUUAAGAACAUUUGUGUGCUUUCUGGAUUUAACUAUGGCAAACCUAAAGAGUUCGUUGAGGCAGCCAUAGAUCUUGGUCGAAGCAUAGCAGAGAGAAAAUUACACUUGGUGUAUAGAGGAGGUAACUGAGGGUUAUUAAAAUUGGUCUCAAAAGCUGCUUUUGUCAGAGGAAGCCAAGUGCUAGGCAUCAUCCCAAGCGUCCUAAAACCUUUGGGCAGUUUGUCUGACUCAUCGACUGGAGAAGAGUUAGUCGACUCAGGUAUGCAAGCAAGAAUAACUGAAAUGCUUAAUCAUGCUGAUGUUUUUAUUUUCCUUCCAGGAGAUCUUACAACACUAGAGGCACUUAUCACACUAGCAUCUUGGGCCCAUCUGCACAUUCACCAGAAACCCAUCGGUUUGCUAAAUGUCAAUAACUUUUAUGAUGGCUUUAUCGCAUUUCUUAACCAUGCAAUAAAAAAAUAUUUCAUUCCUUCAAAUGCGAAAAAACUUUUUAUUUGUGCUCACACUGCUACUUGAUCUGUUACAAGCUCAUAGACCGGAGCCAAACCCCUGGACCUUUGUGUUGGAGCGUCCAAAUAAUGAUGGUAACAGUAGCAGCAGUAAGAAGUACAAAUUAGAUUUAACUCUCCGCUUGUAAAUAUUUUCUUUUGUGUUGCACCACUCAGGUGAUGCCUUCUACACUCUACUUCUUUCCUUUAAAACAUUGAGGACAAUGUUUCAUUCUGGUUGGGGAGAGGGAAUAGUCGACAAUUGUGGAAUCUUGGUUAAGUUUUUACUGAUUUUUUGUUGUAGAAACUAACUGUUGCUAACUUUUUAUGUUGAAGAUGGCUGAAUAUGGAGUGUAGUGACUCUAGAAACGCAUCUUCAUUGUUUGAAAAAAAUUAAAAAAAAAAAUCAGACAUUUUCUUUUUCUUUAUUAAGUUUUGAUGUUCAUUUUUCUUCUUCUUUUUAAUUUCUCCUCUAUAAAUAUACAUUUUCAAAUUGUUGAGUCGAAGAUGGCUGAAUAUGGAGUGUAGUGCCUCUAGAAACGCAUCUUCUUAGUAAAAAAAAAAAUUUCUUUUUCUAUCAUAUUAAGUGUAACUUUUCUAAUUAGUUUUUAUACAUCCUUUUCACAUUUCUGCAUGCAUAUUUUCCUUUCAUGUUUAGGAUAGGUUGGGGGGUAUAACGUUGUUUAAAAAAAAACAAAAACAAAAAAAAAAAUUUGUGUGAUUUGUUUUAAUAUUGGAUGACAUGAUUAAUUUCAUAUUUUAGUAUUUGUAUUAUCUUUGGUCUUAAGUGAUGUUACACUAUGUUUGCUACUCUACAUGUUGAUGUCGGAGAUAAAUAUGAGUUGCUUGAAGGAAUGAACAUGUCAUAAUAAGUACCAAGUGAGUUUUUGAGCCUAUCAUUUUUCUUGGAGAGUAACCCUUUCCCACAUUUUUUAUACAGCUUAACAGUUUAUUAUUUUAUACACGAUCUCUAGAUUUCUUUUGAGUUAACCCUUAAAACAAAAUUUGUAAAAAAAAGAAGAAAAAAAUGUGUGUUGCUACAUUUGGAGGUCCAUCUAACUAGUAGAUAUGGAAGAUUAUUUAGAGCCCUAAAAGACGGUGGAAAGGUCAUCUUUGAUCCGUUUGAGUCUUUCUACCCAUCCCUUUUAUGAAAUAUCUAUUGUUAACCCUUUUGAGCCUUUUAAAAAAAAAUUAAAAAAAAAAAACCUUUUCUUUGUCAACUUAUCAUCUUGACCCACUCUGAUUUGGAGUAUUAUCCAAUAUCUUACAAGUUCCAUCACCUAUUUAUGUUUGAGAAAAAUGUAAAUAAAUAUUUUGUACAGUGAAGUUAUGCCCAACAAAAGCAAAAACAAAAAAACAAAAAAUUGUUAUUUAAAAAAAAAAAGAAAAAAAUAACAAUAAAAGGUGAAAUCCACCUUACAACUUCAAAAAAAAAAGUUCUCUAUAGUUUUCUCAAACAUACACUUUGUUUUCCUUAUUUCCCUUCUUUGUUAGUCAUGUCCCUAGCCUACGUUACGUCCUAAUAAAAAUCCUUCUUGAUUUUAGGGAACUAUAGUCUGAAGUAAAUUGGGUUGACUACCAUUUUUGUUUGACUUGAGAUCGUAUUAUUUCUAAACUGAGGGCAUAUUUCUUUCAUCUUGGUGAGAGCAUGUGAUAUCACUUCUUUAUUAUUUUCUCUCAAUUAUCAUUCAUUGGAAUAACUAUUUUUAUUGGGUUUAAUUUCUUUGUAAGAGUGUCACUACUUCCAGUGAGAUUUUGGGGUUUGACAUGUCAUUCUUGAAAGUAACUGUGACAAUCUACUAAGCUGAUUCAUGUGGAUGGUUGAUGUGGGCGUGAUGUUCCUUUAGACUGGAGAUAAUGCUUAUACUUUUAUUUGAUUACUAUCAUUAGUCUGAUUAAAUAAACACGAGUGUUUAAAAAAAAAUCAUUUUGAAUUUGAAUUUUAUUUUCGCUUUAUUUGCUAGGGACUAGCAAUAAGUUGGUUGGGGGGUGUGUUGAGUAUUAGAAAAUGUAUAUUUAUAAAGGAGAAAAUAGUCAUUUUACAUUUCAAGUCUUACUAACAACCCUUACUUUUAUGUAUUUAAGAUUCUUGUAAUUUAAUUAUGUGUGUUUGAUUUUAAUUAAGUAUUUUAUGUAUUUUAGGGGCAUCAUAGUCAUUUCACAAUAAACAAGAGAUCAAACGGCAAAACGGACAUCACUUUUGAACUCAGGACGGUCGAAAACCUUAGGAGGAGCAUAAAAGGAAAAAUGGCACUGUUCACAUGUACGAUACUAUUCACAUGUACGGUACUGUCUACGUUAUUGUUCACGACACUGUUUAUAUAGACGGAUCGAUGACGUGGCAUUGACCGAUGAUGUGGCAUUCACUAAUGAGGUGUCAUGAUCAUGUUGGACUAAAAUUCUUAUGUACUGUUGAUGGUGACGUGGCAGCAUAUUAGUGGACCAAAAAACGUGUAUAUGGUACAUGCAACACAUGGGAUUAUUUUCAAUCAAACCGCGUUACUGUUCAAACCGUGUUACUGUUCAAACCGCGUGGUCAAACCGCGUACUAUUCACGCAUAUUGUUGACUGAUGACAUGGCGCAAUCUUGAGCGUUCAAACUGUUUUCAAUCCGAUGGCCAUUAUUUACUCAAUGUAUCUAUAAAAAUAGGACCUCUCCCCCCUAAUUUGGAUCUCUGAAUCCAUUUUUGGACUCUAUUUUAUGUAAUUCCUUCUCCAUCUUGUAUUUUCUACGUAUUUUAAUAAAUUCUCAUUUUGCCCCUAGUUCAAUUAUGAGUGGCUAAUUUUCUUUCAAGUUUGGGUUGAAGGUGAAGUCUCAACAUGUGUCAUGGGCUUUAUUUGGUAAAUUUAUUUUCUCUUCCCCUCUUGUUUUUGUGGAUGUUUUGACUUUUCGUUGACAAAUAAUAAUAAUCUUGUCUAGUACCGCCCUGGUUUCACCGGCUCCCUAGUAUAAGAUUAUUAUUAUUUGGCACGAUAAGCCCUUAGCACCAUAUUGAUUAGAGCGUGGUUCAUGAGGUGUGGAUUCCCCCCUCAUGAUUUAAUUGGCAUUAAUAAGGAUUAUUUAGCCCAUGAUGCAUAUUGAUACGGAUCCAGAUACUCAAGUACGUCAUUUCAAUAGAUUUUCACUUCAAUUUAUUCUUGCCAUUUCAAUUCCAAUUUUAGGAUCAUUUAAGUCACUUUCACCACAAAAUCCAACCACUUCAUACAAAAUUAAUUCUACAUAUAACUAAAAUCCACCUCCUCGUGGGAUCGACACUCGUCACCAUUAGUCUAUUCUACAAUAGAUUCGUGCGCUUGCGAGUUCAAUAAAAUUUGCACAACACAUUACAACUAUAAUAUUCAUUGCUAAUAAAUUUACUUAGUAUAAUUGGUCUCAGUGAAAACUUCUCAAUGCGAUUUUAUGAGUUGCAAAUAAUGCAUUAUCAAUAUAAGCACAAAUAUAUUUUUCAAUAUACAAGACUAGGUUAUAGCUUAAUUUGCUCUUAAAAUCUUUUAAUAAUAACAAAAAAUAUUUAUAUAUUGUAACACACAAAACAAAAUGAAUGCUAGAUAAAAUUCUAGAUUUUAAAACUAGACAAAAGAUUAAUCAAAAAAUUAAAAAUUAGAAUUGGGUAGACUUACAACUUAUGGUUCAAUGUCGAAAUACCAACUAUUUGAUUUUGCUUGAAUAAAAAACAAAACGAUUAAAGACUGGUCCAUUAACCAUUUUACUAACAUUUUGUUGUGAUUGUUUUUCAUUUUAAUAUUUGUUCUUGUGUCUUUAAUCCAGUUUCAUGAAAUGUUAAUAACUAAUUAAAUUAUUUAUAAUUAGAAAUUUAAACUAUGGACAAUAUGAAAUAUUUUAAAAUUACUAGAGUCAGUUUCAAAUUUUACAAUUCAGCUGGGGUAUUUUUCAUAAAUAACAAAUAAAAUACAUUUUUUUAGUAUAAUUAUAAAAAAAAUUUAAAAGCCAGCAGGGGCAUGUGCCCCACUCGUCCCAUGCUGGCUCUGUCUCUGCAUGUAGCAACAUAUAAAUUCAGUUAAUGAGCCAUUAAAGUUGUUUAUCACUCAACCACAAGGAAUAUUAGUUCAUGAUUUUCAAAACGAAACUAAACAACAAAGUUUCAGCCGGCAAAUACAUUCUCAUGUCAAAGAAUAAAAAUAAAUCAAAAUAAGAAUAAGAAAGACUGAAUUCCAAUUGAUUCCGGCAAACUUCUCCACUGAUGCAGUCUUGAUUCUUGCUCUUGAAAUCUAUUUUUCCUUGUUUCUUUUCUAUUUAUGAUCUUGGUUGACGGCCGCCUUUUUUCUUUUGUACAUGUGCCUCUGUUAUAGUCCAAAAUUAGGGUAAACGGAAGUUCAGAGCGCGCAUCUUCCCAAUUAGGAAAUUGCAGAUUGCAAUCCGUUAAGUAUCUUGCGCGAAAUCUUCUCUGUCAUUGUUCCCGAAUUGCUACAUCACGGUUUUCUACAGCAAUAGCUACAGUAUAUGCACUGUUCCAAAUUUACUCCAAUUCUUCUAUAGUCGUAUUCUUUUGUCCUUUUUGCAAACCCAUUGCUACAACAUCCUUCCCAUGAAAAUUUAACUUCAGGUUACCUACAAUUAUGCAUAUGUUUUAAGGACACAAUUAUUAGAAAUCAAGCAAAUUUUAUUAAACUUAAACUAAAAUGAAUGUUAAUGUAAACUAUCAUUAAAUGCACUAAAACACAUCAAUUACCCUCUAAGUAAUCUUGAUUUUAAGUCUAAAAGUAUCAUGAUAAUCUUAUUUCAUAGAGUUUUCAAUACUCUAACUUCAAGUUGCACGAAUCUAUAAGGAUUCUUAUGAAUUCUUUGCUCGUUACAUUAGCUUUUAACACCAAAACAUCUUCAUGCAAGUAUAGUAUCCCUUCCUCAUCGUAUUAUGUCCAAAUGAUUGGAACUUGCUUGGUUCUUGCUCAUUUUGUCAAUGAAGCAUUGAAGAGAAUAUCAUGACUUGUUAUUGCAUACCUUUUGUAGUACUUCUAGGCUUUGUUAGAGUUAUUUACUAGAGUUGGCCCUCUUACAAUAACUCUAGCUACUGGCUCUUCAAAAAUCAUAUCACCAGUAUUCUUUUUUGCUGUAUGCACUGUUGAUCUGUCAUUGGAUAAGAACUGUCAAUAUACUUAUUCAAAUAAUAAUUUCUUACUAGAACUUCUACUUGUUUUUUUAAGUCGUGACACUGUGGUUUGGUGUGGCCAUGGGUGUUAUUCAUCAGCAUUAUCCUAUCUCUUAGGAAAUUUUGGCAAGUAAGGACUAAUGAAGGUAGGUUUUGGUUUUGGUUUAGUUGACCUUGUAUUUUGAGUUGGGUUAACUUGGAUCAUUAUAGUGAGGAUGGCUAUCAACUAGUUAUAUCAUUUCAAGUAGCUCUAUUUAGAGAGGGGUGGGGUUAAUUUCUUUUUACAUAGUAUGGGAGAUAAGAGUGGCCAAAAUCAAAUUUAGAUUGGAUUCGGAUCAAUUUGAUCAUAUAUUAAAUUUUUCGGAUUGACUAAAAAAACUCAUCUGAAUGUACUCGAACUUGAAUCUAAUAUGAAUAUAUUUGGAUAGGAUGAAUAAUUUGGCUUAAGUUAGAUUUGGAUCGGUUUGGUAAAUCUCAAAUUUAAUUUUAAUUUACAGGUCACUAUACUCAAUGGAUAAGACAUAAUUUGUAUAUCUCUGUAAUAAACAUUCAAUUUUGAUAUUCAACUACAUAGAUAGAAGAAAAAUAAGUCAUUUACAUUACAAUUGUGGUGCAUAUCACUGAAAAGUAUCAUAAUAAUUCAUAUUUUUCCAACCAAAAUGAAAAGAAACCAUAAUUUAAACAACAUAAUAAGCAAAUAGAAUUUCUAAAGAAAAGGAAAAAGAGUAGAUGUAAGCUAGAAAAAGAGAAAUCAUGUAUUAGAGAAGAAAAGAGCAUUUUUGCACAAAAACAACUAAUACCAAAACUAAUAAAAAAAUCUCAUAUUCAUUUUCCAAUUUUCUCAUAAGCUUACGCAAUUCUUCCUCUUCUACUCUUCAAAAUCAUUUGCCAAUUUUCUCAAUUUUCUCAUAAGGUGAUCUUUGGUCUUUUGAUGAGAAAAUUACUUGAGUAACUUACAACUGGUUAGGUUUGGGAUUUUGGGGAAAACAAGUUAGGUUUACACAUUACAAACUUCACUAGUCAAAUUGUCGAAUUACAUCCGAAUUAGAUUUGAUCCGAUUAUAAUCUCAUCGGAUUGGGUUGUUUCUAUUUAAUCAAAUUACAACAAUAAUCCAUAUUCAAUUUGAAUAUGUUUGGAUUGAAUCAAAUCCAAUCAAUCUAAAUCCAAUUCGAUGCUAACCCUUAUGGGAAUAAGUAGCCAUCCUUAUUAUGACCGCUCUACUCACUGAUGGUUUGUCAUGAAGCCUAACUAGUCCACUUAUUUUUUAGCUCUCCUUUCAUUUCGUUUUAACUCCACAAGUUACUCGUCUCUAACUCUUGCUGCUUUUUCCUCCUCGAUUUCAAUAUCCACCUUCACCUAGUCAUAAGCAGUUGAAUAAGAGUUUAUUAUUGGGUUCCUUAAGUUAUACCACAAUUGGCCUAUCUUUACUCCCUCUUUUAAUCCCUUCAAGGCCUGAAGAUGAUUGAAAGCUCCAUAGUCAAGGAUUGCUUGGUGAUAUCUCUUGAAAAAUCUCUUAGAGUUUGAUUUUCUUCCUACUCGAGCCUCAUUGGCUCUAUCAUGUCAUCCUCUGGUGUUAUUGCUCCUAAAAAAUGUUCAGCAAAGUCUCCAUGCAAUUGAUUAGAAGUUCUGAUGCUUCCCUAUGGCAAUUUGCGAUACCAAUCAUGUGCAUGCUAUUCUAAUGUCAAUGGAAACACUCGACACCACUGUAGUGGUGUCAAACCAUGUACUCUAGUCAUCUCAUUAAAUCGUUCUAUAUGCAUAAAGAGUCACUCUUUCUGGAAUAUUUGAGGUUUAAAACUAAUCCCUUGAUAUUGUUGUGCUCAUGAUUUUUGCUGAGAGUAAGAUUCAUUAUCCAUAAUUAUUCUCCAGCUCAGUGCUCUUUCAAUCCUAUACUUCUUCAAUAAUUCGUGCUAACCUAUGCAUCUUAUCUUCUAAUUUCCCAACGCGACUUGGGUUCUACACCCUUAUCUACUUGCAGUCAGCGUUCUGUUUAUUCCAUAGAUUUUCACCGAAGUACGUUUUGGUUGCUCUCCAAAAAAAUAAAAAAGAAAGAAAUCACCUAAUACUUUUGGGGCAAGGCAAGCUUCCAAAUAACAUUGCAAAUGAUUUGGUGAAAAAGCUUUCAUCUAUUCCGGUAAUUUAGAAGCACUUUAAUUCGAUUCUCUCUUAAGAGUCCUAUCACUUUAGGAUGAUUUUUAAGUAAAAUCCUUGUAUAUAUUAUAUUUUUGUUAAUAUAACAAACACUAAAUAUUUAUGAUCUGAAAGAUAGUUGUUGAAUGGAGAUCGUUUCACACAAAAAAAGUAUUUAAAAAGAAUGUGGUAUUGUAAUAUUAAAUAAUUUUUUGUAGUGAUAUAAGAGUAUCACACUAGUUUUUUUUUUGCAUUCCAAAAAAUUGAAAAUAAGAUCUAAGUAAUUUCAAGAAUAAAUUAGCAAUAUUAGGAACAAGUUUUACAAAAAGCUUCUGGGACAUGUUAUACAAAUUUGUUAUAUAAGAAAGUCUCUACUAGAUCUUCUUUCCACAUUACAAAAAUUAGAAAUGAGAUCUAAAUCGACCAAUUAUAAAUUUUAUAGUGAGUGGGUCCUAUAUGAAAACAAGGUUUUUUUUUAUUAUAGUGUAGUCAAUUAUCAGCCAUCUACCCUAAGUUUAUUUUAUAUUAAAAAAAUACUAGGAAGAAUUAAUUUGUUUAGUUUUUUACUUUAAUUUUAUAAUUUGUAUUAGUUGUCUAUUAAAAAGAUAGAAUUAUCCUUACUAAAUGACAAAAUAGAAACAAAUACAAAUAACAACUAUGGUCAUUUUGUAAGGGUAAUUCUAUCUUUUUGGCAUCGAAUUGCAUAUUAAACUAUUUUAAGUACUUAAAAUAAUAUAAGUUCUUUAUCAAAUAAAUAAAAUUUUAAACUAUGUAUUUACCAAACAUUUUAAAAUCACAGCUCCUCUACUACAUCUCCAAAUAAAUUCUUAAAAUCAUAAAUAACUAAAUUAAUGGGGUUUUAAAAGGACUCUCCGGAUUUUGCAUGAUUUCUUUAUAUAUAGGUGCUGGGUGAUCAUGUUGGUUCCUAUAGGUACCAUCAGCCACACUUUUUGUUAGUGGUGAAAAAACAAUUUUGGGUACAAUUUGUGAUUUGUAUAACGUGCGGUAUUAAACAUUUGAAACAUACACCGACAGUAAUCUAAUCAAUAAUUAAAAAAAAUUGUAUAAAAUACAUAUGUCGUAGGCAACUCAGAUCCUUUUCUUUAUAAUUCCAUAUCAUGUGAUUAUCAAAAAACUUCUUGAGAUUUUUAAAUUUUGUAAUUGCACUAUCCUUGAAUUAUCAAAAGACUCUUGAUAAUGUUCUUCUUCUUAAAGAUGCCCUUAAUCCGUAAAUGGUCCAAUAAUUAGUUCAUAAAACGAAUUUAUUACUUUAGACAAGUCUCAAAUAUGCAUACCUCUUAUAACUCCGUAUUGCAUAAUUCCUUACUUAAAUGCAUUUGUUUCCUUUCUCUAAAUUUUAGAAUGGCCUUGUCUACUAAAUUUCCUCUUUAAAUUUGACUGCCAACUAGGAAUUUCGCCAAAAUUUCCACCCCAUCUUACUCUCUGAAAUAUGUCUUCCACGUUACUAUAGCAAAUUUUACAUCUAGGAUACUGAAACAUUUUUUUUUUUUCAAUUUUCAAAUAUUUAGCUGUUGACAAUAGGUCUUUAGCUGCUCACCAAGAGAAAAUUUUCAUCUAAAACUUUUUUUGAUAAGGCAAGCCUCCAAAUAACAUCCAAAUGGUUUGGACAUUCAGUUCUACUCAAAAUUCAGAUUAAUUCACACAUAUUUAGAUUUUAGACAAGAAACAUAUGCCACCUAAAUAUUUAUGACUUAAAAUUAUUUAAUAAUCAUGGCACAUUUAACCUAUCUAAACAUGAAAUCUUGUGGAGACUUAUGUUUAAGCAGGAGGAUAACGUGAGAAAAUUGACACAUUAAUUUACAAUUUGUACGCCAACUGAAUAAUUUUUGUUUGUUUUUUGUUUUUGAUAAUAAAACAAGCCUCGCAAGAGCUUAGGUUUUUAGCCAACUGAAUAAAUUUCCCCACUCAAAUUAGAAACAAUAAAAUCUAAUAAUUAUGUUAUGAGCCCAUCAGACAAAUAGUGAGACAUCAUAUUGUUAAUACCUACUCGUAAAAUUAACGGGAUAACGCGGUUUAUACGGACAGAUUAUCAAGGUAUUGUUAAUACCUUCUGUACCGGUAAUUCUUUUUUUCUUCUUUUUCAACCCCAAAUAAUCAAAAGCUCUCCAAUGGCUUUUGUAUCCACAACUCGUCCAUUUCAUUUUACUUCAAUUUCAGUAUCAGCUCUUAGAUGUAAUUUCUCAUCUUCGUUCCCUCAUACCAGAAAACCCACAUCUUCAAUUUCGGAAAAUGAACCCUCAGAUCCGACUACAACAGCUAAACUGAAGGAGUCGCUACGACUGACAGUCAAAGACGGAGCCUCAAUCGAAAAAUUUCUUAAAGAAAGGUGAAAAUCAUCAGGUCAAGGUGAUAUUAAUCUUAUUACUCCUAAUGAAGCCUUGUGUAUCUUUGAUUACAUGCUCCGUAUGCACCCUUCUCCGCCUCCGGUUUCUUCCUUCAAUAUUUUGUUUGGUUGUCUUGCUAAGAAUAAACAUUAUGAUACUGUCCUUUCACUCUUCAAGAGACUCAAUUCAACUGGGUUGUUUCCAGAUCUUUAUACUCACAGUAUUUUGAUUAACUGGUAGAGUUUCUCAUGGUUUUGUUGUUCUUGGGAGAAUCAUCAGGUCUUGUUUUACUCCAGAUGCUGUGACCUUUACUUCUUUGAUUAAAGGUUUGUGUGCGGAUAGUAGAAUCAUGGAGGCCGCCGCAUUGUUUACAAAACUUAGAGUGUUUGGUUGUGAGCCUGAUGUUUUUACAUACAAUACGUUGAUUAAUGGAUUGUGUCGAACUGGCCAUACAAUUGUUGCUCUAAAUUUAUUUGAAGAGAUGGCUAAUGGAAAUGGGGAAUUUGGUGUCGUUUGUAAGCCAGACACUGUUACAUACAACACUAUCAUCGAUGGUGUUUGUAAGGAAGGUUUCGUGGACAAGGCCAUGGAACUGUUUCUGCAGAUGAAGGAUGAGAAUAUUAACCCCAAUGUGGUUACUUAUAACUCUUUGAUUCACUAUUUCUCUCAUGCUGAUGAUUGGAAUGAGGCUAAACGUUUGUUUAUUAAGAUGAUGGACCAAGGUGUGCACCCUAAUGUUGUGACUUUCAGUGUGAUCGUGGAUGAGCUCUGCAAGAAUGGGAAGAUGGAAGAAGCAAGUAGGUUGUUGGACCUGAUGAUUCAGAUUGGUGUGCAUCCAAACACUUUUGUCUAUAACACAUUAAUGGAUGGGUUUUGCUUGACGGGUAGAGUUAAUCGUGCAAAGGAACUAUUUGUUUCUAUGGAGAGUAACGGGUGCAUGCAUGAUGUUGUUAGUUACACCACAUUAAUAAAUGGGUACUGCAAGACUAAGGAUGUAGAGGAAGCUUUAAAUCUUUAUAGGAAAAUGCUGUCUAAAGGAAUUAGGCCAACAGUUGUUACAUAUAGCACCUUGUUUCUUGGCCUUUUUGAAGUACACCAGGUUGAGCAUGCUUUAAAACUGUUUGAUGAGAUGCAGCAUAAUGAUGUAGCAGCCGAUACAUAUAUAUACAAUACCUUUAUUGACGGGCUCUGCAAGAAUGGUUUUGUUCUAGAGGCACUGGAAUUAUUCUGUGCUAUAGGAAAUAGCAAGUAUGAACUUGAUAUCAUAUCCUACAGCUGCCUCAUUGAUGGAUUGUGUAAAAUAGGCAAACUGGAAACUGCUUGGGAACUGUUUCAAAGUUUGUCUCGUGUAGGCCUAUUGCCAAAUGUUGUAACAUAUAACAUCAUGAUCCAUGGGCUUUGUAAUGAUGGGCAAAUGGACAAGGCACAUGAUUUGUUUCUUGAUAUGGAAGCAAAAGGUGUGGAACCCGAUUGUGUCAUAUUUAAUACGAUUAUGCUGGGUUUCAUCCGCAAUAAUGAGACAUCAAAAGUUAUUGAACUCCUUCAGCGAAUGGAUAAUAGAAAUGUAAUGCCAGACGCAUCUAUACUUUCAAUUGUUGUGGACUUGCUUGUAAAGAAU